RNAcentral lists this long non-coding RNA (72307 nucleotides) under Nicotiana benthamiana. Its description in RNAcentral is "long non-coding RNA (NBEN_LNC014700)". The stretch from base 4898 to 5003 matches the Rfam family "MIR6152 microRNA precursor family". Lineage: Eukaryota; Viridiplantae; Streptophyta; Magnoliopsida; Solanales; Solanaceae. The record is from RNAcentral.
AAAGAAGUAAGGUUUGGAAUUUUUUGGAAAUAGUAGAAGGUACUAAUAGAGUUAGGUGCAAACUUUGUAACGAUACUUUUAAACAUUUAACUGGAGGAAAUUUAGGUGGGACUGGGACGCUUAGUAGACAUAUGAGGACUGACUAUCCCAUAGAAUGGGGCACUGAUGGGGAUGGAAAUCAAACAACUAUUAACCCUACUACUGGAGGUCUUGUAAAAUAUGAUAAAAUGAGGGAUCGUGAGGAAUUAACAAAAAUGAUUGCUUUGGAUUGUCUACCUUUUUCUUUUGCUUCUUCAUCGUAUCUUAUUAUGUAUAUUCAAAGAAUUUAUAAUCCUUUAUUUAAAUGUAUCCCUAGAAGUACGUGUAAAGCAGAUGUCUUUAGACUUCAUGGACAAUAUCAAACAUAAAUAUAUUAUUUGUUUAGCCACCUUCCUUCUAGAGUAUGUCUAACUUCUUAUAUUGGCCAUGCUGUUAAUGGAAAUGAUUAUUUGACAAUUACAUGCCAUUGGAUAGAUGGUAGUCUUGUAUGCAAAAAUGUAUUAUCGCUAAAUAUGAUGAAGAUCAGAGCCAUAUUUCUACAUUUAUAAGUAGUACUAUUGUUGAAGUUGUUGAAUUUUAUAAUCUAAACAAAAAAGUUUUGUGUGUCUUUUGAUAAUGCUUCUAACAAUAAUGCCACAAUAAUAAUUUUAAAAUUGCAUUUGCAACCACCUCUUGAUGAUAUUUUUCAUGUUAGGUGUGCAUGUCNNNNNNNNNNNNNNNNNNNNNNNNNNNNNNNNNNNNNNNNNNNNNNNNNNNNNNNNNNNNNNNNNNNNNNNNNNNNNNNNNNNNNNNNNNNNNNNNNNNNNNNNNNNNNNNNNNNNNNNNNNNNNNNNNNNNNNNNNNNNNNNNNNNNNNNNNNNNNNNNNNNNNNNNNNNNNNNNNNNNNNNNNNNNNNNNNNNNNNNNNNNNNNNNNNNNNUAUUACUAGAUGGAAUUAUACAUAUAUAUUUUUAAAAUGUUGCUACAAAUAUAGAUUCCCAAUAACUGAAGUUGCUAAUGCACAUUGUACUGAUCCUUGGCGUAUGUUAACAAGUGAUACUUGGGAGGUCAUUAAUUAUGUUGCUAAAUUUUUACAUAAAUUUUAUACAACUACUGUUGAGUUUUCUGGAGCAUAUUACUCCACUGUUACUAUGGCUUUAGUACAUAUAGCUGAAAUUUCUUUUCUACUAUCUNNNNNNNNNNNNNNNNNNNNNNNNNNNNNNNNNNNNNNNNNNNNNNNNNNNNNNNNNNNNNNNNNNNNNNNNNNNNNNNNNNNNNNNNNNNNNNNNNNNNNNNNNNNNNNNNNNNNNNNNNNNNNNNNNNNNNNNNNNNNNNNNNNNNNNNNNNNNNNNNNNNNNNNNNNNNNNNNNNNNNNNNNNNNNNNNNNNNNNNNNNNNNNNNNNNNNNNNNNNNNNNNNNNNNNNNNNNNNNNNNNNNNNNNNNNNNNNNNNNNUUUCGCUAUGGCUCGGGACGUGCUGAAUGUGCCAAUUUCUACUGUUGCAUUGGAGAGUGCAUUUAGCCAAGCAAGACAACAACUUGGAGAUACCCGCCGCUCAUUGGGAAGAAAUGCUUUGGAAGUUUUAAUAUGUUUCAGAGAUUGGAUUAGAUCGAAAUGAGGAAAUCAAGGAAAGGAAGAUUUUGAUAGUCCAGAAGACGAGGAACUUGGAGAUAUAUUAACACAUGGAAACCCAUCCGAAUUUACACGUGGAAAAUACUUUUUCAGAAAUCAUUUUCCAUCAGUACCAAACACACCAAAAUUGAAAGAAACUGAUUCACUAAUGGGCGUAAUGAAAUAAAUAUGAGAUCAAAAUGUAAUGGAUGAUUAUGAUGGACAUGCUAGGGCGAUGCAAAACAUUUGAAAUUACUACUUUACUAGUUUACUUGUUAGAAAAAUGUAAACAUUUCAUUUUGUAAUUUUUAAGGUUGAAAUUAAGAAAUAAAGUAGCACUUGCAAUAAGUGUAAUUUUUUUCCAUCUUACUUGUACUCUUUUAAUUAUUACAAGGUAUUAAUAUAACUUACAAUAAUUAUACAAAAUUCCAAAAAAAAAGUAAAAAUACACUAAAUGCGGCCCGGCCCCCUCAACUCGUAAACCUUAUGAUUUAAUUUUUAUCCGAAUUAACCCAGCCCGCUAGAACCCGUUACUAUGCAAACCCGGCCUGGCACGGCCCGGAACCCGGACGGGUAAAAAGAUCGUCCCGGACGGCCCGACCCACCCGUUUAACAACAUUGCCGUAGUACUAAUUCAAAUUCGCGUUACACCUCCUUCUUAAAUUAUUUAUCGUACUUUUAUUUUACUUACCUUUUAAGAAAAUAUUAAUUAUUAGUGCUUUUUGACUAUUUUAUUCUUAUUUUUAUUUUAAGAUAUAAUCUCUUUUCAUUAAAUAUUUGGGGCAAGUACGCAGAUAAUCAUUCUUGGAUAUGCUAUUUAAAUAAUUAGUCAAUAUUUAUUUUGUCCGAAAAUUUCAAACCAAAAAUAUUAAUUUCAGGACAAUCCAAGAUAUUUUGUCCGAAAAACUGAAACGAAAAAUUAAAUUUCAAGACGCACUAACUAAUUUCUAAAUAGCACUUUUAGAAUAGUUAUUUGGUGUUAUUUCUACUAAAUAUUUACUCCAUAAUUGAGGAGUAGUCUUUAAGAACAAUAAUUACUUUUAAGGGUAAAAUAGGGGACGAAUAAAUAAUUUAAGACAACUAUUUUUGAAAGAUACCACAUGUAAUUUGAGACGAAGGAGUAGAUACGAGCAGUUAAAGAUAGAAGUACUUUUCACCGAAAGUUUCUUCAUUUUUAGAUCUCAAGUUUCUCGAAUUCGAGACCACUUAUGAAAGAUGGAAAAGUUUUAUAAAUAGUGAAAGAUGGAAAAGUUUUAUUUAUUCUUCUCACCACAUUCCUCUGUGGCGCAACUGAAAUCAAUUUCAACAUUAGUUAGAGUUGUUUAGCUGUUAGAUUUUCUCGUGUGAUUUUCCUUGCAGGUUGCUAGAUUCUUGAUGAUUAGUCACAUCUUGGAUUGUUUAUUUGGAUUUAUUAAAACUAUACCAUAAAAGAUAUUAUGGCAUGAUUAUUAAGUUGCCUUUUGCUAGCGUCGAGAAUCUUUUAUAGUAAUAAAAUUGUGCCCUUUAUUUGAUACCCUCAUAAUGUAAUUAUCGAAGCCCCUUGAGAUCUACAAUUUUAAGGUUAAAGUUGUACGGUAUUUCUCUAUUAUCCAUAAUGCAUUAAAAGUUGUUGUUUAUGUAAUUGAUGUCCUUCUCAUUAAGGAAUCAUUUGUCUGUCAAAAUAUAGAAUAUGCGUUUAGACAAAUAUUUUUUUGAACAUAAAAAGAAAGUAUUUAAAAUUGAAGUUAAGAAAAUAAGUAUUUGGGACUGAAUAAAAUCAAGAAAGUCUAAGCCUUUGAUAUCCUCAAACUUGAAAUGACGGCCGAUCGAGGAAAACAAAAAAUAUAGAAAGUACACAUAUGAAAUAAUACAACUAGUAUACAGAGUUAUCGCUUUUUUUUCAUUUCCUUUUCAACAUAUAAUUUCCACGUGGAAAAUACUUUUUCAGAAAUCAUUUUCCAUCAGUACCAAACACACCAAAAUUGAAAGAAACUGAUUCACUAAUGGGCGUAAUGAAAUAAAUAUGAGAUCAAAAUGUAAUGUAGGGGUGUUCAUCGGGCGGAUUGGGCGGCUUUUUACUCUUAACGAUUUGGCUUAACGGUUAUCGGCUUUUAAAUGUAUUAGUCUGUUAGCCAUCCGAUAAGAUAUCGGACGGAUUGGUAUCGGGUUAGCUCUUAUAUGGCGGUUAUUGGGCGGCUUAUCGGCCUAACAUAAAUGUUACUAGAAUUUGAUAGAUCUCUUCAAACAAUUAUAGAUCAAACACCUAUUCCAGUAUACCUUCAUAUGAGCUAGCUUGUUAAUGUCUUUNNNNNNNNNNNNNNNNNNNNNNNNNNNNNNNNNNNNNNNNNNNNNNNNNNNNNNNNNNNNNNNNNNNNNNNNNNNNNNNNNNNNNNNNNNNNNNNNNNNNNNNNNNNNNNNNNNNNNNNNGACUGCUUAGUUUUCCAAUUCACCAACGUGUAUGCACUGGACAGGGUCUUAUCUGCCCAAUAAAGUCUUCAGCAAAUUGAACAAUAAAUGUAUUUUGAAAAGAGAUAUGAUAUUAGAGACCGUCGUCAGAAAAAAUAUUUCUACUGAACAAUAAAUGUAUUUUUAUGUGUCUUUUAAAUAAAAUUUUGUCAAGCAAUCGCGCUUAAUUAAUAUGUAUUCUUACAAUGAUUUGUUUCCAAUGCUUCUUAGAGUUGGACCAAUUCGAGUUUGGUACAAACGUUAGAUGUAGGCAACUUUUUUCUAGAUUGUCACAUUUGGAUCGAUUUUUCGGUUUCGGAUCGAUUUUGAACACCCCUAAUGUAAUGGGUUGAAGUGAAGCUUCCAACCAAAGAGAAUUCAGAAGGGCAAGUUACACCUUAGGUCGAUUAGCAAAAGAUAAUUACAUCCACUAGCUAAUUUUCUAAAAUAAUAAUAUUAUAUAACCGUUCUUAAAAUAAUAGCCAAAAAAUAUAUAUUUUUGUGCACAUACAUAUAUAUGUUAUCUACGAAAAUAUACAAAUCUUAAAUAUGUUUGCAGCUAUCAGAUGCAAAUAGUUUCGAUCGCGGACUAAAAAUAAAAUUUGACCUUUGCGUUCUAAUAGCUUUUCUUAAAGUAAAUUUUCAUAAAAUACUAUCUUUUAGUGGUAGUUAGCUAUAUAUGGAUACCAUUUGCUUCUGUUGUUAUAAGAUGUAUUAGAUGUAUUUAAGAAAUUAUAUUCAUGAAUACAAUAGAAAAAAUAUGCGUGAAUCGGGGAAGUCCAGCUAAUUAAUUGUUGUAUUCGAGUAUAUUCGACUGUAUUCAUGGCAUGAAACAUGUGAUUACAGCUGGAUAAAUUAUUGUGUUCGAAUGUAUUCGACUAUAUUUACAGUGUGAAACAGAGGAUUACACUGUUUUUAAACGGAAAGUGAAUUAAUUAACAUAAUAGACUCCUAAUAUAACUCAACAAACUCAAUAUAACACGUAAAAUUUAUAUUUUCAUUUAUAAAAAAGAUUCUCAACCAAAAAAUAUCCCAAAAACAUAGCAAUCUUGAGAGAAAUUAUAUAAUACAUCUGAAUACAUAAAUUAUAUUAAUUGUAAAAAAAAUAUACGAGACAGUGAAUACAAUGGAAUACAGUGGGAUACAUUGAAAUACAAUGAAAAAAACAGUGAAUACAAUGAUAUAUGGAAUACAACGAGAUACAUUGAAUUACAAUAUUUAAUAAAACGAUAAUGAAUACGAUAAAAUACAUGAAAAUAUAACAUGAUACGUUGAAAAUAUAUUGAAAUAUAUUAAUAGAAAAUCUAGUUGCUCAGCCUCAAACUCCAUCGUCUUUUGUUCAAGAAUAAAUUUUAAUUUUCGGCGAAUCCGCCGUCGAGCAAAUAUCUUUGUGUUGUGCACGCAGAUCGAAAAAAAUAGUAUAUUGCUCAAAACAAAUCCCACAAUUCACAUUAUCAUAAUCCAACUACUUAGUUUAUUCUUUCUCCAAUAUUAAUAUACCUAUAGCUUUCAAACAACAACAAAGAAGAACGGAGAAAAAAAAUAAGAAAUAGAGAAGAAGAAGAAGAAAGAGGAAGUGGAAGUAGUGUUUGAAGUUUGCUCAAAUCGGGUAUAGAUUAAAAAUUUUAAUAGAAAGCAAUGUCUAAUGGAAUUGGAGAAAUUAAGAUCAGAGAGAACGUAGGUAAUGUGGAUGAGAAGAAUUUUGAGAUUGAGCAUAAUAUUUUUAGGGAAUGAGGAAGAGAAUGGUAUUUAUCAAAGUAAAGAGAUAGUGUAACUGGAUAGCGUAUUUAGUGGCUUAGGAGUAGAAGUUAACCAAAAUUAGAUAUUUUACUAUAAACAUUAAAAAGUAUCUAUAGAAUAUAAUUUUUUUAAAUAAUAUUUAUUUAAAAUAAAUAAAGUAUUAACCUUUGUUAUAAGAGAUAAAAAUUUCCUUUUUAAAGCGGUUAUACUGCUUAGUUUUCCAAUUCACCAACGUGUAUGCACUGGACAGGGUCUUAUCUGCCCAAUAAAGUCUUCAGCAAAUUGAACAAUAAAUGUAUUUUGAAAAGAGAUAUGAUAUUAGAGACCGUCGUCAGAAAAAAUAUUUCUACUGAACAAUAAAUGUAUUUUUAUGUGUCUUUUAAAUAAAAUUUUGUCAAGCAAUCGCGCUUAAUUAAUAUGUAUUCUUACAAUGAUUUGUUUCCAAUGCUUCUUAGAGUUGGACCAAUUCGAGUUUGGUACAAACGUUAGAUGUAGGCAACUUUUUUCUAGAUUGUCACUCGGUAAGACGACAACAACAACAACAACAACCCAGUAUAUUCCUACCAGGUGGGGUCUGGGAAGGGUAAUAUGUAACGAGCCUUACCCCUACCCGAAAGGGCAAAGAGGCUGUUUCCAAUCGACCCUCGGCGCAUAGGNNNNNNNNNNNNNNNNNNNNNNNNNNNNNNNNNNNNNNNNNNNNNNNNNNNNNNNNNNNNNNNNNNNNNNNNNNNNNNNNNNNNNNNNNNNNNNNNNNNNNNNNNNNNNNNNNNNNNNNNNNNNNNNNNNNNNNNNNNNNNNNNNNNNNNNNNNNNNNNNNNNNNNNNNNNNNNNNNNNNNNNNNNNNNNNNNNNNNNNNNNNNNNNNNNNNNNNNNNNNNNNNNNNNNNNNNNNNNNNNNNNNNNNNNNAAACAAAAACAAGAACAAAGACAAAAUUAAAAACAAAAACAAGACAAAACAAAACAAUAAAGCAUUAGUAAAUCCCGCAGAAAUAACGUAAAUAAUUAUGUAAACAUAGGAAAUAUAAAUACCAUCGCAUGCAAUAAUAACAAACAGAAAUUACCCCACUAACAACCAUAAGGGGGACAUAAGCUAAAACACGAAUCCUCUAUGGGUAACUCUGCUGUCCCACACCCAAUCCCGGAUGAGGCGAACGAAGACAAUUUUGUUAAUUCUUUAUGAGACGCCGAACAUUCUAUAUUUUUGUCUCGAUUCAAACUUCAAAUUCUUAAUCUUUUUAGAAUAAAAUUACAUAAAUAGAAAUAAGAUAAAGUGGACAAAUUCUAAUUUUUUUUAUAAUUAAAUUUUUAAGAGCAGAUGAAAAAUCAUGGUUAAAGAAAUACACCGUUAUUUGACUCUUCAAAUAGCAGUAAGGCCCUAAAGAAGUGGACGUACUCUGGUUGGAGGUAGCUAAUUUGAUAUUAGUAUGUGUGAUGAUCCAAAAGGUCAACACUUAUUUUUAAAAUGAAUUUUGCGUUACGAGGUCUUAAAGACCUCUUCUGGUAUCAUUUCGAUUUUUAUGUGCAGUCCGAACGCGUAGCCGGAAAGUCAUUUUGUGAAAAUCUGUGGAAAAAAUUGAUAACUUUUGACUAUAAAAUGAAUUAAGUUGACUUCAGCCAAUAUUUUGGGUAAACCGACUCGGAACCGUAAUUUGAUGGUCCCGGAGGGUUUGUAAGAAAAUAUGGGAUUUGGGGUGCACGGAAUCGAGUUCCGAGAUCCCAAGCCCGAGAAAUAAAAUUUUUAAAGAAAAUUAUUUUCUAAAAUUAUUUAUGAGAUUUGGAAAUGAAUUGUGAUUAAAACAUGGUAAGAAACGGAUUUGAAACGACAUGAAUCGGAUGUUUUUUAGAAAAUUAGAAAUUUGAAGUUCUUAUGAAAAUUUUAUGAUUUUGAUGCUAGAUUCAUAAUCGUUAUUGUUAUUUUAUUGAUUUGAAUGUACGAGUGAGUCCGUAUAAUAUUUUUAGGUUGGCGUGCAUGUUUGAUUUGGAGCCCCGAGGGCUCGGGUGUGUUUUGGAUAGGCCACGCGAUGAAUCUUGGACUUGAGGAAUUGCAGACUUUCAGUUGUUACCUUGCAGGCCUGCAAGCUUCGCAUUUGCGAAGUCUGGCUCUCAAAUGCGAGAUCGCGAAUACGAGGGGCAUGUCGCAAAUGUGAAAGAAGCCAAUGCCAGCCUACCUCGCAAUUGCAAGGAUUCCAUUGCAAAUGCGAUACGCUCCCUUUUAGCCAGUCUGCGAUGCAUCCUUUGCAUUUCCCACAUCGCAAAGGCAAAAACCUCUUGACAAAUGCGAACAUAGAAGAGGUCGAAGUUCGCAAUUGCGAACCCUGGUCGCAAUUCGCAUAUCUGCAACCUGCAACUUUAUAAUUUAGCUAAAAAUUUCUCAUUUUUCACACUCUUUCAAAAUCAAAACACUCUUGGGCGAUUUUUCAAAGACGAAUCUUCUCCCAAAUCGAUUGUAAGCCAAUUUUAACUUGUUUUCUUCAAUCAUUAACCUCUUUUCACAUGAUUUCAACUCAAAUCAAUGAUUUUCAUGGGAGAAAUUAGGUGUUUUGGGUAGAACCUAGGUUUUUAAAAAUAUUGGAGAUUUGAACCUCGAUUUGAGGUCUGAUUUCAAAACAAAUUAUAUUUUUGGGUUCAUGGGAGAAUGGGUAAUCAAAUUUUGGUUCGAACCUCGGGUUUUGACCAUGUGGGUUCGGGUGAAUUUUUGUCUUUUUGGGUAAAACUUUGAAAAACUUAUUUUUAUGUAUUGGAAUUGAUUCAUUGAGCGUUUAUUAAUGUUAUUAAGUAACUUGUGGCUAAAUACGAGCGAAUUGGUGGUGAAAUCAAGGGGUAAGGAUAUAGUUGUGAUGCGAAUUGUGUUCGUGGCAUCGAGGUAAAUAUUUGGUCUAACCUUAGCUUGGGAGAUUAGGAGCCGAGUCCUAUUUGCUAUGUGGUAUUUGUCCAAUACGACGUAUAGGCAUGAUGAAAAAUAUCUAUACGUUGGUGUCAAAUAUGUUGUGAGUCUUAUAUUGUGAUUAUUAUAACUUCGUUGUAUUUUUCAUGCUUUGGUGAUGAUUUUCAUUGUUGGACAAAGUUUGUAGAAGUAAUCGUGCCAUUUAAAUAUUGAGAAGUGUUGGCUCAAGCCAUAUAAUGAAAUGUGAAAGUGUAAGAGGUAAAUUGAACCCCUUUAGAGCAUUGGCUCAAGUUAUAAAGUGAGUUGUGAAGAAAAAGUGAAAAAGAGAAAAGAAUUACUAUAUUGUCUCCCUUGCCGGGAUAUUAUUGUUUUGAUGUUGUCCCUUGCCGGGACUUGUUUUUGAAUUGUUGUUCCCUUGCUGGGAUUCUUAUUGUAAUUUCAUUUAUUUCCUUGCCCUAUUGUUUGUGAUUGUUGUUUGGGUGAGGAAGAGAGCUAAAGCAAGAAGGGUGAUGCCGUGUAUUAUUUUGGUGAGAGAGUAUUAAAGCACAAAGGGUGAUGUCGUGCUGUGUAUGAUUUGUAAGGAAAGAAUGUAAAGCACGAAGAGUGAUGCCGUGCCACAUGAUGUACUAUUCCGUACCGAUUAUAUUAGUUAUAUGGCGAGGAUGAGAGUAAAAGUACGAAGGGUGAUGUCGUGCACAUUUUCAUUACUUGAUUGUUUUGGUGAGGUCGAGAGUAAAAGCACGAAGGUGAUGCCGUGCACUUAUUGAUUUCUGAUUCUUUGUUGAUAUUUGAGAUACGUUGUUUCUUUCAAUUACCUGUUGUCUUUCUAUUCUAAAUUGAUAUCGUUCCCCCCUCCCCCGCAGCAUAUUACCCCUCCCAUACUUGACUGUUUAUUUCUAUUCUUUUUUUCCGCUAUAUAUAGUUGAAUUGCAUAGGUUUAUCUGGUAGUCUGGUAGUAGCCUCGUCACUAUUUCACCGAGGUUAGGCUAGACAAGUACCAGCACAUAUGGUCGGUUGUGCUGAUAAUACACUCUGCACUAUGUGCAGAUCCCGGAGCAGCUUUUGGACCGUAGAUUGGGUGGUUACCUUCAGUACACGCGGAGAUCCAAGGUAGACCUGCAGGUAUCCGUAGGCCCUGCGUCUCCCUCUAUCCUUUUAUCUCUGUUUCAUUUCCUUAAUUCAGAAACAAGGUAUCAUUUAUUUUCAAACAUUGAAUGUAGUAAAUCUUAGACCGUAUGUGACACCAGUUCUGAGUGAUUAAGGCUUAAACAGUUGUAUUAGUUGCAUGUUCAGAUAUUUUAUUGCUUUACUUUCGCUUAUUUUAAAUUUCCGCUAUUUACACGUUAUUGCUUUAUAACUGUUAAAAUGUAUUAAAAGGGUUAAAAGGUUAUUUGUUCAAUAGUCGGCUUACCUAGAUCACAUUAGUAGGCAUCAUCAUGACUCCCGAUGGAGAGAAAUCCGAGUUGUGACAGUAUGACUUUUUGGGAAUUAAGUUGUAUACACUAAGGGGUCAUUUGGUGUAUAAGAAAAGUACGAAAUAAAGUAUAUAAUAAUGCAGGGAUUAGUAAUGCAAGCAUUAGUUACGCAAAUAUUAUUUUUAUUUACUAUUUGGUGUGGUGAAUUAAAAAUUAUAAUAUAUUGCAUAAUUUUUAAGGAAAAUAGUUAUUUACAAAAAUGCCCUUCAUAUUCUCUAGUUUAAGAAAUUUUAAGGAUAAUUUUGUCUUUAUCGAUACUAAUGCAUGCAUUAAUAGCCUCGUAUUACUAAUAUUAUAAGUUUCUAUGCAUUACUUAUACAUUGGAUAAUACCAAGUACGAUGUAUAACUAAUACAAGUAUUAGUACAUAGUUGAUAAAUAUGUACCAAACAAGGUAUUAGUAAUGCACAGAGCUAAUGCUUGUAUUAUUUUUUCUAAUACCUCCUACUAAAUGACCCCUAAUGGUGAAUAUAUAUUUUUAAAUUAGAAAUAUAUUUAACAAAAAAUAACAAGUUAUUAUUAGUUUUUCAAGUUACUAAUUAACAUUUUAUUCAUAAAUUUAUAUGUAAUUACUUCAUGAGUUUAAGCUAUAUAAGUAUUUUGUACAGUUAGGUUAAUUAACUUACAAUAACAAAAACAAAACAAAAAAAACUCCUAUAAUAACAAAUAGCUAUUCAUGUUAAGUUUGAUAAUUUUGAGAAAUAAUGAUGGUCAACUAGCAUAGGAGAACACGCAAAAAAAAUAAAAAAGAAAAUAAUAUAUGAUAGUUUAAGAAGGUUCAAGAGAAGAAACAGUACAUCCGAUCCAUAACUAAAGUCUCCGUUAAAUCUACCAAGUGUUUCCCGAAACAACUAUGUCAAAGAAAAUAAAUAACCGAGUUCAGAUACUGCUAGCACAACCGACUCAGCUUGCGCUAGGAUUGCGAGACUCUAUGAAUUUGCUCCUCGAUCACGCAUUGAUCACGUACCUCGAAUAAUUUUAAUGAAAUUCGAUUCUAUUCUUUUUCCUUCACUAGAAAUACUUUUUGGUCUCGGAUCCAGAGAUCCUCAACCUCUGAUACCAACAUACCUUUAAGGGGUUUGUUUGAUAUGCAGAUUACAUUAUUCCAUUUGGGAGGUGAGAUAAUAUAAUCUCAAGUUUGAUGGGAUAAGGGGGAUAUUUUAUAUCAAGAUCGAUAUUAUUAUAUUUGGUUAAUGGUAUAAAUUCUUACAUUACUGCACAACCAACUUGAGAAUCAAAAAGGGGUUUGAUCGCAGUUGUACUUAAGGCUCUUGCAGCAGUACUUAACCGUUCAUUGUUCAGUUAAAUAGAAGUUCUGUUAAGUUACGGUUGAGUCUACUAUAGUUUUGAGUAGAAGUUUCUGUAUUUGCACAUUUGACAAGUUAAUUUUCCUAGAUGUCACCAUCCAGUCCAUAGUCAGAUUUGUCUUAAAGACUUGUACAUAAUCCUUAUCCAUUUUACUUUCUGGAUGAUUCAGCUAGGGUUUGGAGGGGGUAUAAAUUGUAACUAUUCUCCUUUUUCUUUUAGUCCUAACCUAGUUAGUUUAGUUAGUCUUCUUCUUGCUUUUACUAUUUAUUCAUCUACUCGACUUCAUUAUAUAACAUUUAGUCUUCUUUCUUGAGCUUCGUGGGUGAAGUUAUGGCAUACAUGGAUGAGAUUAAGUCAAAGUUCGAUAGGAUAAUUAUCAAGAUUGUGAAUUUUUCGGUUCGAUCGGUCCAGCUUGAGAACCAGAAUGAGAAGAAUUUUUGCUGAGCUUAAGGAGUCCAUUGAAGCUGUGAAGAAGUAUGAUAUGGGAAGAGUGUAGAAGUAGUAGAAGGAGCUAGAGUGAUCUACACUCCCUCCGGCAACUUAGCGCCUUGGAUACCUCCCAGUCAAAGAGGGAUGGGUAUACAAUAACAUAGCCCUGCUAGUUAUCACAUGGGGCUAGUCCCUUUGCCUCACUCUCAAGUUCCCAUAUGGGCUUCUGAUCACACCCAACUAUGCCUUAUGAAAAGGAUUAAGCGGUCGUUGCAAAUAUAAUCUAGUUUAGAAGUUCAGAGUCGAAUCACAUAGAGAACUAAGGUUUAGCUACAGUUGUUCAAUAUCGCUAAGAAACACAAGUCCAAACAAUUUCCUAAUUAUAAAGAUUAUAAUAUUUAUUUUAUCUAAUUAACUAACAAAUACUAGAAAACAGUAAAACUAUCAAUUAACAAGGAUAAGGAUUGGAGACAAGAUCAAGAAGGUCUACAGUUAUGAUUUUCCCUAUUGUCGGAAUCCUUUUCGCUACAUAUUCUAUAAAUUUGCCUAAGUCUUCUCUACCGAUCCUGAGCAUUUGGAAUUUCAUAACUCUGCCCCGAGUAAUUACCACAAUUUACUAGACACAUUCUCCAGAAUUAUGCUAGCUGGCGUUAAGUAUGACUCACUCAGAUCACACCAAGGAUUCGUUAUCCUUGAUCCCACCAUUAAACCAUCCGUAUUGAUCUCUCAUAUACGCUAGGAGUGACAUUUUUGAACAACUACCUAAAUAUACACUCUCUCCCGAGUAAUACACACUAAAUAGGCACAGUCGAUUGAGAGCACUUCAACCAACCACAAUAUAAAUGUAGUUGAAUGUAACAAGAAAAUUAUCCUCCAAUAUGUUCCAUCAAAACUACAGAUAACAAAUUAGCUAUUCAUAACAUAAGCAUAACUACAAAACUAAAAUUCAUAACCAAUAAUGGAAAUAGGAAGAAGAAAGUGAAAAACUCGUAGAAGAAUUCUCCGCCUUGCUCCUAAUAUGCUCUUGCCUCCUUAGAUUGAAUCUUUGGUUUCCUUAUCCUCCUUAGGUCUAAAUUAUGUCAAAAAUCCUCAAAGUACCAUUUUUUCAUGUAUAUAUACCAAGUAGGGUCGGUCCCAAACAAUUAUACCUUCCCAUAUGCAAAAAGGGACACUUUUUCAGGAUAGGCCAUGCGCGGUCGCGGAUCAAACGUGGAAUGACCAUGCAUUUUGACUAGUGUUCUGCUUGACAUGCGCGGCCACAUACUUUUCACCCCGUUCUGUUGGAAAUUCGGAAAAACGUAAAACAUGAAAGUUUUAUCUUUUUGAGUUUGAAUUCCAACCAAAUUUUGUGAAGCCCAAAUGGAGUUUUGAGAAAAAUGUUAUGUGUAUUUUAUUAGACAGUGAGUAAUAUGCCUACUCAUACAAGGCAUAAAACACACAACUAGUGCAAAACACUAGCGAUUAAAGCUCAAACUCAAUUAAAGUGUAGUAAAUUAAAGUGUAAUAAGCGAAUAAAAUACGUAAUUAUAGUCUAUUAUUAGUUUCUUCACCUUAAGUUUAUUCCUCUACAGGUCAUUCUCAGGGCCAAACAUCUGCCAGUAACCAGGGAGGUGGAAAUACAGUAAGAAGAAGCCACAACCUGCAGUCACUUCUCCAAGAGGAACAACUAUGAUAAGGAUGACAAAACUGGAGUUUCCUCAUUUCAAUGGGAACCUGGAUAUGCAUAGUAGAACCAUUCUUUUUUCUUGAUGAAGUAUAAUAUUCUUAGAGGUUUAAGAUAGGUUAAAUACACUUUGAUUACUUUGCUAUUGAAAGACAUCUUACUUACUUGAGGAGUAAGGCUCAUCUACCUUAUCCUGCUUGGGAAGAGAAUGUUUAUGCAUUAAUAGAUAGGUUUAGGUAUGAUUAUGCAUAGAAGUAGCAAACGGACGUGUCAGAUCGGAUAUUGUUCGGGUUGAAAAUGAAUAAAUUAUCGAUCCGACCUAUAUUUAAUAUGAAAAAAUGGGUUAACCGACGGAUAAUGACUUCUUGCAUAUGAUUAUUUUUGGGAGAAUCCUUUGUCCCCAUGAGUUGAGGAACCCCAAAUCUGAGGCUUUACAAAUAUAAAUGUUAGACUCAUUGGUUAUCCAUUAUCUAAAUGAAUAAUAAAUUUUAUCUAUAUUUAACCCGUUUUUUAGAAAAGUUCAUUAUCCAACUCAUUUUCUAGUGGAUAAUAUGGGUGGUUAGCUAUUUUAUUUUAACUAUUUUUCCACCCCUAAUUAAGCAUACCCUAUGGUUGAGAUUAAGCUGAUUAAGCAAACAGGGAUGGUGGAAGAUUAUCAAAGAGACUUUGACAGGAUAAUGACUAGAUUAGUUAUUCUUCAUGAAUAUGCAAUUACUGUCUUUAUUACUUGCCUAAAGCCAGAGAUUGGCGUCACAGUCAAGAACCACAAACCUUAUUCUUUACCCCCAAGCAUAUCAGUUGGCGAGAAACACAGAGGCUUAGGUUAUGGUCCCGUUGAAGGUAACUAAGGCUUCUUUAUUUAGUGGGGUGUCCUCUCAUUCAAAGGGAGGCUAUUAUAGUUUAACUCCAAGGGAUACAUCAUUCAAAAGGGAAGGAGGCCAAUAUAAAAGAGAACAUGCCGUUAAUAUGAACAAAAGUUUCACCAAUAAUUACCGCAGCUCAGAUAAGUGAGAAAAGGCAUAAGGGGUUAUGUUUUUUUGUGAUAGAAAGUUUUUUCCUGGUCCAAAGUGUAACACCUCUAAAUAAGUGUACUUGCUAAAGGUUAAUUAAGUUCAUGAGCCAAUAGUUGAACAGGAACCAGUGGAACAAGAAGUAGUAGAAAUAGAACUAGAUGAAGAACAUGAGAAGGCUUGUAAAAUUUCCAUUCAUUCACUGAAUGGGUUCUGGGUUUCCAUACCUUGAGGGUGACAUGAUACUCUGAGAGUAGGCCUUGAGUAUCUUGAUUGAUCCUGGUAGCUCACAUAAUUUUAUUGACCGAGAGCUUGCUACGAAGCUGAAGUGUGCAAUACAGGUCAUUAGGCCUCUGUCAGUUAAUAUAGCUGAUGGUUUCAAUAGGCAUAUUGUAGAGUUGUGCAAAAUAUUUACUUCGUUCAUUGCUGAUUUCUUAUUACUAUCACUGGCUCUUGACUGACCUCCAGCUGAUUUUCUAGAAUUUGACUCUGGGAUUUGUGAAUCAAGGAAGAUUAGUGGUAUUAAAAGGGACAAAGGAGACGACCGUGAUAGCGGAAACUAAAAGACUAGGUAAAUUGGCCAACACAAGUGAUCAGAGUGUUACCAAUAGAUGAAGAAGUGGCGGAGGGAAUCAAGAAAACUCAUCCUCAAAUAUUGACCCUCAUUGAUGAGUACCAUCAGCUAUUCUCUGAUUUAACAGAUUUACCACCUUUUAAAGGAAUUUUUAAUCAUAGAAUUCCUUAUACAACAAGUUAGUAACCUAGUGAAUGCAAGACCUUAUAGUUAUUAUUCAAGACUUAAAUAUAUCAUUGAGCAGUUGGUUAAAGAGAUAUUGAGCCAAGUCAUAGUACAACCUAGUUCAACUCCUUAUGCUUCACAUAGACUACAAGAUGGUUCUUGAAGACUAUGUAUAGACUACAAGGCCCUAAAUAAUAUGACUAUCAAGGGACAAUCACAAAGGAAUUGUUGGAUGAACUAUGUUGAUUCAUAAUUUAUUCAAAGUUGUAUCUAAGGUCACGCUACCAUCAGAUAAAGAUGGCAAAGGAAGAUAUUUAGAAAACUGCAUUUAGAACUCACUCUGGCCAUUUUGAGUACUUAGUAAUUCGAUUUGGUCGUUCUAAUGCCCCUUCAGUUUCCAAGGCCUCAUAAACCAUGUGUUCAAGGAUUACCUUAGGAAGUUUAUACUUGUAUUUUUUUAAUGAUAUUCUAGUAUAUAGCAACAUCCAUGAAGAACACUUGCAGCACCUGAGAAUCACUUUCAACUUGUUAGUUCAGCACAUGUUAUUUAUCAGGAGAUCUAAGUGCUCUUUUGGAGCUUCAAGGGUUGAGUUCUUAGGCUACUUAUUUCAGCAGAAGGAGUAUCUACUGAUCCUAAAAAUAUAGCUGCAGUACAAGACUAUCCAUUACCUAAGACUGUGAGGGAGCUGAGUGGUUUUCUAGGGCUUGCAGGAUACUAUAGGUGGUUUAUUUGGAGAUAUGGAAUUAUUAGAAAACCCCGCAUAGAACUACUAAAGAAGGAAGAGUUCCAUUGGAGUGAUAAAACCACUUUAACAUUUGAUAAGUUGAAGGAAUCACUGACUAGUGCACAUAUUUUAGCUCUUCAAAACAGUUCCCUGUUGUUUGUCGUUGAGAUAGAUACUUGUGAUCAUGAAAUUGGGGUAAUGUUGAUGCAAGAAGGCCAUCCAUUGGCAGAUCUUAGCAAGGGAUAGUUAGUAAGGCAUCAAUGCCUAUCAUUGUAUGAUAAGGAUCUUCUGGCCUUAGUGAUGGCUGUCACCAAAUAAUCCCAAUACCUGCAAGGAAGGCAUUUCAUCGUGAGGACAUAUAAGAAGGCUUUAAAAUUCUUGUUGGAGCAGAAGUUACAAACAGGAACAUAAAUGAAAUGGAUCACCAAGCUUAUGCAGUUUGACUUUGAAAUUGAGUACAAAAAGGGAAGGAAAACAAGACAGUUGACUCUCUUUCCAUGCUCUCCACAACUGAACUAUUUAUGAUCUCUCUUACACCUACUCAUCCUUCGCUCUUUCUAAGGAUUGAGAAUGCACAAGAGUAGCACCUAGAGAUGGUGGAACUUAUCGGCAAGGUCAAGGAGUAGGAGGAGGAUUUAAAGGGGUACACUUUCUUUAAGCAACAGCCAACUAAGGCAAGGCAUUCUUCAGCAAUGGGAUGACAGUCCUAGUGGAGGGUUUUAAAGAAUGGAGAAUACUUAUAGAAUGAUCUCUUCUCUAUUUUAUUGGAAGAAAUUGAGAGAUGAAGCUAAAUUUAUGUGAGGAAAGUGUGCAGUGUGCCAAAAAAGAAAAUAUGAUGUUGCAGCUUCCCCAGGGUUACUCCAGCCCUGUGCAAUUCCUUUUCAGCGUAGUCUAGCAUUAGAACGGACUUUAUAGAUGGACAACCAAAGACAAAGGGGAAAACUACUAUUUUGGUAGUGGUAGAUAGUUCUUCAAAUAUGGACAUUUCAUUGCUAUCAGUCAUCCUUAUACUUCCAGUUCUGUAACUCAAGUCUUUCUGGACCAUAUCUUCGAGCUCCAUGGUAUGCUAUAGAAUAUUGUCAGUAAUCUUGAUCCUGUUUUCAUCGGUGGCAGGAGAUGUUUUCAUUACAUAGAGUUACAUUGAUCACUUCUUCAACUUAACACCCACAGUCGGAUGGCCAAACCAAGGUGAUGAAUAGAACUGUAGAGAACUAUUUGUUGUGCUACAAUUCAGAUAGCCAGCAUGAUAGGGCAUUAUACCUUUCAUUGGCUUAAUGGUGGUAUAACAAAACCUUUCACUCUACAAUCCAAGUAGCACCCUAAGAAACGUUUCAUUGUCAACCUCCUCCCAUCCAUCUGCCUUAUUUAGCUGGGGAAGCCUCAACGGAGGAGAUAGACAGGAGCUUGAUCACAAGGGAGUUCAAGAAUCAGUUGCUCAAGUUCCACUUACAUAGGGCUCAACAAAGGAUACAGUCUUUAGCAACAAGAGUAGAAGUGACAGGCAGCAACAAGCGGGAUAUUGGGAUGAGCGGAUUAUAAGUUGUCCUUACAUUCUCAUGUGACUAUCCACCCCACAUUCCAUGUGUCGCAGCUCAAGCUUUGCCAUGAGGUUCCAGUGACAUUUGACCACCCUCUAAUGGUGGAUAUUCCUUGUAACACCCAGUAAAUUCGGCUUAGGUAUGAAUGAGUUAAAUGAUUAGUAAGGUUAUAUUUUGGACGUGUGAAGUACCAUCGGGAUGAUUAUGUGUUAAAAUAUUUGUUUCAAAAUCAAGAUGGAAAGUAAGGUGCAUAAGAUUUGACAAAAUCGACUAAGUCUGCAGAAGGUCUGACGUGAAGCAAUAUUUAGUGAAACUGUGUAAGGAAUUUGGGAAAGCUCAAAGCAUAAAAGUUGUAGUCCUUUGAAAUAUCUUUCCAAUGAUAUAUUAUGCAGCCCAAACGGAUCUCUGUGCAAAAGGGUAUGUGCGUUUUACAUAACCGUAUAUGAUAUACGCGCCCGGCAGCGCGCCUAUAGCGCGACCGCACUAAUUUUGAGGCAGUAUUACCGCGGUUUUGCGCGGUCAGUAGUGCGGGCAGGUCUCCAGCUGCACGGGCACGCUCGUGGAGGAUCAUUUUAAGGUCAUAUUUCGUCCUCACAGUCCCAAAACAUAAAAACUUGUUCUAGAAAGGUCCACUCUCAAAACCUAACUCCUUAAGGGUUCUUCCACCACCCAAGGUAAGUUCUAAUGGUGAUUCCAAGUUAAUUUCAAAUUUUCAAUAUCUUAUUACAUGGGUAAAACCCUACCUAGAACUCGAAUUCAAGAAGAUUGAACGUCGAGAAGGUAAUAUCUUCACCCUCUUAUUGAUUCUAGUAUUGGGUUAAUGAUUAUAGACUCUAGUUCAUGAGAUAUGAGUUAAUGAGUUUGAUAGAAAAGCAUGAAUGAUUAUAAGUUUGGGUUGUUGAUUGUUGAUCAUUGGUUAAGUGUAUUGUUUACUGUCGACUCUCCCUUUUUCUAAGAGUCAAAAUUGGGUUUACGAAAUUUGGGAGGACAACUCUAUUCACUUUCGAGAAUUGGGUUUUGAAGUUGAAGAGUCGCCACCUAAUAAUUAUAGUGCAUUAAGACACUUUAAGAAGCGUUUGAACUGUAGAAAACCAGAGUUCGGGUAAGGGCUAGAAAUUAUAUCGAGGGGAAGGUGUUAGGUACCCCUCAUGAUCCACAAGUGUGGUUCCCGGCCAUAUUACAAUUGUGACUUUACAUAAACACAUAAUCAGUUAAGGCUCAAAUAAGGAUUUGCAUAUAACAUUGCAAUAAGUUGAAAAAUUGUGAAGAUAAGUAGAGAGAGCAAGAUUUUAUGAAAAGAAUUUAAAGAAAAGCUGAAAGCAAGUAAACGAAGAAAAAUAAGCAUGUAUAAUCCCACCCAAUUUCACUAUAAUCCCGGUCAUUCAUCACAAACUAUUACAAACCGGGAUAGUUGAAAUACAGUAAUGAAAAAUAAAAUAAGAAUUUAUUCUAUAGGGAGCCUUCAACCAGGCCCAGCCUUCCAACCUCACUUCUUUCGAGUUUCACAACCAUUGUCUGGGUGCGGCAAAGCUCCCUAGGGCCCCAUUGGGUCCCUGGCCAAUAUCAGCACCCAAACAUUUACCAAAAUAUUAAAGAAGUGCAGUGUGGAAUUACCAGCCUUGUGCAUCAAAGUUCAUUGAGCACUUACAAGGUGCCCAAAGAAAUGCUUACACUAAAUGGGUAGAACCUAAUUUCUAAGAGUAGUGAGAGUGUAUUGAUAGAGUUUUUUCUUUAAAAUAAAUUGAGUUGAGAAAAGAAAACAGUUUUAAAAAAAAAUGAUCCAUAUGGAGUCAAUUCUUGAAAGAAACAACAGAAGAGUGUGAUAGCUCUUGUAAGAAGGGGAAUAAAACAAUCUUAGACUAGAGUAUCAUACAUAAUUCAGGGAAACAACACAAACAGGGGACAUGGGACAAGUAGUUCAUAUGUAAGAACACAAUUGCAUAUACACAGACAUCAAAUAAUUUAUUUCAGAACUUAGACAGUCACACCAGGUUUCAACCAAAAAGGUUCAGGAUUACAUGUUGAAAAGGUACUAGGGCUAGGGGGCAGGGGAGAACAUGCAUUAAGCAAAUCAGUAGGCAUGCUGAAUUAAGAGAAGGUUAGCCACACUAAUGAACUAACACAGAGGCAAGUUAGUUGUAAUGAGAACAAUAGAAUUAUAAGUAAAAGCAUAAAAUAAACAAAAUGAAGUGCAAUACCCAUAAAAUAUAUUAUUUUGAAAACUGUAAAUCAAAUAGAGGACGUACUAGUAAAAGAGCAAAAUAGGAUGCAAAGUGGUAAUACUAUGUUGGCAUUGGCUUUCAACCUGCUGAUAAUGAGUAGGAGCAUAGAGCAUUAAUGGAGCAAAAGAACAAGAGAACAAGAGAGCAAGAGAGCCAGAGAGAUUUCGAAAGUAUUUAGUGAUGUGUGUAAGUCAGAAGACUGUGUGUGUUUUGUGUAAAGACAUAGGGUAUUUAUAAUUGAAGGUAGGUGAUAAAAUAAGGUUAAAAUUACAGAAAUAUGUUAACUGAAGAACUCGGAAUCAAUUAAUGAAAGAAACAAGGAAGUACUCCCAUUAAUUAAGGGAAUCAAAAUUAAACGAGAAUAUUCAACACCAUAUAGGGCAGGUAGAAAAAUCAAUAUACGAAUUAAUACGGAGGGGAUCAAGAUUCAAUAUUGCAUAUAGCAGCCAACUAAGACCAAAUUCAGGAAAAUUCUAAUAAAGAAAAGGCUAAAGAAUAGAGUACUAUAACAAAUAAAGUAACAAAACCAAUUAAUUUAAAAGGGCGGGUAUAAAGCUAGGUUUUUUAAAAGAAAGUUUUUGAAUUACUAAUCAAUCAAGGAAAAUUAUAAUCAAUCAUGUGAAGUCAUGAUUCUGCACAAUUAACAUAUAAAUAGAGGGGAAUUAACAAGAGUAGCGAACAAAAGUAGCGAACAAGAUUAGACAGGAAGGAACAAGAGAUGAACAAGCACAACCACUCAGAGAUAGUGGAAACAAGUUAAGAUUCAGCAGGGCAUAUUCAAAGCAUGGUGACCAUGAAACAUUAACAAGAAUCAAGAAAAUAGGCUAGCAGACAUAACCAAAGCAAGAAAAAUCAGGCUAGUACACACAAUCAAAUGAAGAAACAUGCUAGGGACAAAGCAAAGGAAAUUAGGCUACCACAUAUAAUCGAAGCAAAGAAACAUGCUAACAUACACAAUCAAACGAAGAAAUAUUUUCUAGAAAUUAGGGUUUUUAACAGAGCCAAACUAAAAAAUAAUAAGAGCAUAGAAAUCGAUCAGAAUAAACAAAGAAAAGGUUUUAAUCAUAAAGAAAAUCAAUCGAAGCAUGCAUAAAAGAAAUCCAAGAAACCCUAAGUAAAAAAAUGGUUCAAAGCAAAGGAUCUUAUAGAAUAAACAGAGUAUAGAGGAAAACAUGAAAAUAGCAUGAAAUAACACAGUUUUUUGAGAGCUUCAGGAGAGAGUUAGGGUUUCAUCCAACUUAAGAAUAACAUUAAAAAUAGCACUGGGAGUCACGAUCAGUACUUAAAAAUCAGAAAAAUAAAGUGAUUUUGAAAAAGGGGGUUCAGAAAUCCUAGUUUCAAAAAAGGGAACAAAAAUGUUUAAAUCAUGAACAACCGUACAGAUUAAGUAGAGAGUAGUGUAAACCACAAAAGCGUAAGUUAAAAAUUGUUAAAAAAGAUAGAGAUUUAAGAGGUCUAGUUAGAGGUUAGGGUUUCGUAAGAAACCAGUGAGAGAUGAGAGAAACGUGGCUAUGAAACUCAGUGAUAAUGGUGUCCACAGCACCAUCGGACCAACACCCAUAGGAGAAAAGUUCAGAGACAAACCAGACCAAUCUUCAGUGACAAUCUCGCAUGGUGGAGGCUUCUGGGGCCUCAAGAAUAGAGGGAGCCAACGAGGUAAAGCUUCACGAUGACUAGUGGUUGAAGGAGGUGAGGUUGGAGGCAGCUGGAGAGGCGGUGGGGUUCGUUGGAGAAGAAGAGAGAACUAGAAGGUUGUAGAGAGAAGGGAGAGGGAGAGUUAUAUAUAUAUACAGAGGCAAGUUAGUUGNNNNNNNNNNNNNNNNNNNNNNNNNNNNNNNNNNNNNNNNNNNNNNNNNNNNNNNNNNNNNNNNNNNNNNNNNNNNNNNNNNNNNNNNNNNNNNNNNNNNNNNNNNNNNNNNNNNNNNNNNNNNNNNNNNNNNNNNNNNNNNNNNNNNNNNNNNNNNNNNNNNNNNNNNNNNNNNNNNNNNNNNNNNNNNNNNNNNNNNNNNNNNNNNNNNNNNNNNNNNNNNNNNNNNNNNNNNNNNNNNNNNNNNNNNNNNNNNNNNNNNNNNNNNNNNNNNNNNNNNNNNNNNNNNNNNNNNNNNNNNNNNNNNNNNNNNNNNNNNNNNNNNNNNNNNNNNNNNNNNNNNNNNNNNNNNNNNNNNNNNNNNNNNNNNNNNNNNNNNNNNNNNNNNNNNNNNNNNNNNNNNNNNNNNNNNNNNNNNNNNNNNNNNNNNNNNNNNNNNNNNNGGUCUAGGGGGGGGGGGGUAAUUAGGAUUUAAUUAAGUAAUUGGAUCUGGAUCGUUGAUCUCGUUUGAUCAACGGUUCAGAUUCAAUUGGAGCUGGACCGGGUUUGUUAAUUGAAGUAUGGGUCGGUCCAAUUGGGGUUAGGGUUGGGUUAAUUGGGGGUUAAAAUUGAAAUAUGAAUGGGCUAUAAUUGCAAUAAAAUGAGGUUAAAUGUUAAAUAACUGAUUUUUUCCUUUCUAUUUUAUAUAAAAUAGUUAAAAUGAUUUUAAAAAUGACUUUAAAGCACUGAACCAAUUAAUAGUGUACAAGCAUUAAUCUAAAAAUACUAUAAAUGAUUUUAUAAUUAUAAAAUGGAAUUAAUUGUAAAAUAGGCAAAAUUUAUUAAAACUAUAUUUUAGUGUAAAUAUGAGAGUGAAAUGAGUUAUUCGCCAAAAUGAUAACUUUGGGAAUAAUUACUGAAUUUGGUAGUAUUAAAAUAGUCAAUAAAUUGGUUUUAAAAAUCUUUAAAAUUUUUGGAAAAAAUACCAAUAUACUUGGGCAUGCUCAUACUUGCAUAUAUAUGUUAUUUUGAAAGUAUUUUGAGUAUAAAAAUACCUAGGAAACAAUUGGGUAUCAACGCCUGCCUUCUUUACCUGGGAAGGAUGAAAGAGUUAUCGGGUAAAGAUAGGAUAACCAAUUUUGCUCGAAAGAGGCAAUUUGUAAAGACUUUUGACCGAGUUCUGGUUCGUGAGCUGCCUACAUAUCCCUGGUCUUACACGAAUCAGGCCCUAUGUAGUUCAGGAUCCAUCGACGAAAUAUGUCGAUGGAGAUUUUGAAAGGCGGACGCAAUGUUUGGGUUGCGGAAGGUAGUUGAAAUCUGAUGGGAUGCGGUAACCGGAGUGCUAUCGCUCCUAGUGAGAUAGUCUUUGCUAAUCGGUGUACCUGCAAGUGAGCAAUACAAACAUAUAUUGUGCAUAAAUUUAAACGUGAUGCAAGUUACUAUUGGACUACGAAUGUUGUCUUCGGAUGGGCAGGAUGACGUUCUCAGACCAUGGCGUCCGGGGCCAUGAAGUGUAUGGUAACGGAUUCGCAAGCUAUGAAAUGAUGUUCUCGGGCUAUGACGAUGAUGCCUCCGAACCAUGAUGCCUUUGAAUAAUGAUAUGCUAAAGAUAAAAUGGGUUCUGCAGGACAUGGCAUGGCGUUCUCGGGCUAUGAAAAUGAUGCCUUCGAACAAGGACGCCUUUGGACAAUUUGGUGAUCUUUUAGCCCAUGAAAUGCAAAAGGUGGCGAUCUUUUAGCCGAUGCAAGACAUAAAGUGGUGAUAUUUCAGCCAUGCAAAAUUUAAAGGGGUGAUAUUUCAGUCAUGCAAGAUUUAGAUAAAUGUGGCAAUCUUUCAGCCGAUGAAAGACGUAAAGUGGCAAUAUUUCAGCCAAGCAAGAUUUAAAGUGGCGAUAUUUCAGCCAUGCAAGAUGGGGACAGAGCUUUGUCCUGGAAGGUAGAAGGGUAGCCUUAUGAAAUGCGAGAAUGUGCAGAUAGAGAUAAUGCUUAGGCUAGGAAGGUAAAAAAGUAGCCUUAUGCAAUGCAGGAAAUGUAGAUGGAAACGAUUCUUUGUCUCAGAAGGCAGAAAGGCAGCCUUAUGCAAUUCAGGAUAGAGACAAAGCUUAGUCUCGAAAGGCAGAAAGGUAGCCAAAUGCAGAAAACGCAGAUGGAGACAGUGUUUAGUCUGGAAAGACAGGAAAGAUAGCCCUAUGCAGAAAUGCAGAUAAUGCAGAUGGAGACAAUGCUUAGUAUCGAAAGGCGAAAAUGUAGCCUUAUAUAGAAAUGCAGAUGGAGACAAUGCUUAGUCUCGAAAGGCAGAAAGGUAGCCAUAUGCAAAAAAUGCAGAUGGAGACAGUACUUAGUCUUGAAAGGAAGAAAGGUAGCGCUAUGCAGAAAUGCAGAUAAUGCAGAUGGAGAAAAUGCUUAGUCUCGAAAGGCAGAAAGGUAGCCUUAUGCAUAAAAUACAGAUGAAGACAGUUCUUAGUCUCGAAAAGCAAAAAGGUUGCCUUAUGCAAUGCUGGAAAUAAAAGGCAAAUAGUAAUGAAAAAAUGUUUAGCUGAUGGAUGAUAGCUGAUAGUUGAUUGCAUCAUUGUGGCUGCAGGGGAGGUUGUGCAUGGUUAGUAAUUGUGAAUAGAUGAUGAUUCUGAGAAGUUGCAUUCUUGAGAAAGUAUGAUUGCAUAAAUAUAUGUAAUGAUAUUGCGAAUUGAGUGCUUGCGUCCAAAGAAAAAUCAUGAGUUUUCUAAAAAAGGGAAGGUUAGUUUGUCUUCCCGUGGCCUUUACUCGUCCUGCUUGACGUGGUGUAUAAUUAGGGUUGCAUCUCUAAACACAGCGAUUCGGGUAAUAUUUAUUCAUGAUUCAGUAAAAAAUGUAACGCAAGUAUAUAAUCAAAAACAUUUUUCUUUUAGAUGAACUGACGACCGCGACGCGGUUCAAGACAUUGCGGCCUCUCUCGCUUCGGAAUUUUGAGGGUCCUCCUCAAAAUUCUUCUGCGUGCAAUGAACGACUAGCGAUCAACUUUGGAAUUUUGAUGGUCCUCCUCAAACUUUUGGCACAAUUUCCAGUAGCGGGGGGAAAUGGAAAUUUUAUAGAAUUGUGACGAACCUAUUAGGCUUCCUACAAUCCACUCUUAAAUGGGAAUCAGGUCAAGCGUUGUUCAAAUUACAUUAUAAAGGAAAUAAAAAAUGGUUAAAUAGUAUCGUUUUACUGCCUCUGACUUGAUUGGCUUCAGCCAGACUUCUCCAUCCAUUUUUGCAAGUAUGAGGACUCCUCCGGUUAAAACCCGAUGAACCAUAUACGGACCUUGCUAGUUGGGAGAUAAUUUUCCUUUGGAUUCAUCUUGAUGCAUAAAAAUCUUCUUCAACACCAGCUGCCCCGGUGUAAACUUCCUUGGCUUGACUCUUUUGUUGAAAGCUCUCUGGACAUUCUAUUCUGAUACAAUUGACCAUGGCGACCUACAUUCAUUCUUUUCCCAUCUAUAAGGGCUAGAUGCUCGUAGUGACCUUUUAACCAUUCUGCAUCUUCUAACUCUACCUCUUAUAUGAUCCUCAAGGAGGGAAUUUCUACCUCGGUGGGAAUGACCACCUCCGUACCGUAAACCAACAUAUAUGGAGUUGUCCCGGUUGAUGUGCGGACCACGGUGCAGUAUCACAAUAAGGCAAAUGAUAACUUCUAAUGCCACUGCUUAUGCUUUCUAUCAUCUUCCUCAGUAUCUUCUUGAUAUUCUUGUUGGCUGCCUCUACAACUCCAUUCAUUUGAGGCAUGUAGGCUGUAGAGUUCUUGUGUUUGAUCUUGAAGGUUUCACACAUCAUUUUCAUUAGCUCACUAUUGAGAUUGGAACCGUUAUCUACAACUAUUGACUCCGAAAUUCCGAGCCGACAAACAAUAUGAUCGCAGACGAAAUCUAACAAAAUCUUCUUGGUUUCUGCUUUAUAUGAUGCUGCUUCAACCCAUUUGGUAAAAUAGUCAAUUUCCACUAGAAUGAACCUGUGCCCGUUUGAUUCGGUAGGCUCGAUAGGUCUGAUAACAUCCAUUCCCCAAGCGGUGAAUGGCCAUGGUGAGCUUGUUGUAGUAAGCUCAUUCGGACGCACCUUUAUUACAUCUGGUAGCGAUGGCACAUUCGUACAUACUGAAUGCAGUAUGUUUCCAUAGUCAUCCAAAAAUAUCCUGCUCGGAGUAUUUUAUUUUCUAAGACAAAACCAUUCAUAUGUGGACCACAUGUUCCUAUAUGAACCUUUUCUAAUAACUUGGAUGCUUCCUUUGCUUCAACACACCUUAUUAAUCCCUAAUCAGGAGACUUCCUGUACAGGAUUCCUCCACUGUGAAAGAGGUUGUUAGACAACCAUCGAAGGGUGCGCUUCUGAGUAGCGUUGGUAAGUUCUAGGUAUUCUCCUAUUGUCAAGUACUCCUUGAUGUCAUGGAACCAUAGUUUUCCAUCUGCUUCUUCCUCGACAUAAGCAUAAUAAGGUGGUUGAUCAUAAAUCUUUACCGGGAUGGGGUAAAUGAAAUUCUCUUCUUGAUGUUGGAUCAUGGAUGAUAGAGUAGCAAAUGCAUCCGCGAAUUCAUUCUUGACCCCGGGAACAUGUUGGAAUUCCAUAUUUGUAAACGUUUUCCUCAACUCAUGUACAUGAUGCAGGUAAGGAAGUAUCUUAGAGUUCUUGGUUGCCCAUUCUUCUCUUACCUAAUGUAUGAGCAAGUCUGAAUUCUCGAUCACUAGAAACUCCUGAAUAUUCAUGUCAAUGGACAUCUUGAUCCCCGAUAUGCAGGCUUCAUAUACGACCAUAUUGCUAGGGCAUGGGAACUUAAGUUUGGCGAAUACCGGGUAAUGCUGGCCGGUUCCUGAUACUAGGACUACUCCUAUGCCAACUCCUUUGAAAUUUUUUGGCUCCGAAAAACAUUCUCCAACUGUCAUAGGAUUUUGAAAUAUCUUCUCCUGAGAAAGAUACCUACCUCUUCAUUGGGAAAAUACGUCUUUAGAGGCUUGUAUUCUCCAUCCACGGGAUUCUCGGCGAGAUGAUCCACCAAGGCUUGUCCUUUUAUUACCUUCUAAGUCACGUAAACAAUGUCAAAUUUACUUAGCAGGGUUUUCCACUUGGCGAGCAUGCCAGUAGGCAUGGGUUUCUGUAAGAUAUACUUCAGUGGAUCCAUUCUUAAUAUGAGAUAAGUGGUAUAUGCACAGAAAUAAUGCCUCAACUUCUGAGCUACCCAAGCCAGAGCACAAUAGUUGUGCUCUAGUAGAGAAUACCGAGCCUCAUAGAUGGUGAACGUCUUGCUUUGAUAGUAGAUGGCUUGACCCUUUCUCCUGGUUUCAUCAUGUUGUCCCAGAACACAACUGAAUGCUCCAUCCAAUAUUGCAAGGUAGAGCAAUAGAAGUCUACCUGGUUUGGGUGAACCAAAACUGGAGGCGUUGUAGGUAUUCCUUGAUUCUGUCAAAUGCUUUGUGGCAAUCAUCAGUCCAUUUGGUAGCGGUGUCCUUCUUCAAUAUUUAAAGAUGGGUUCACAAAUUCUAGUGGACUGAGCUAUGAACCGGCUGAUAUAGUUGAGUAUUCCUAGGAAACUCAUCACGUACUUCUUGUUCUAUGGCGGUGGCAAUUCUUGAAUGGCCUUAACCUUUUAUGGAUCCAAUUCUAUCCCUCGACAACUCACAAUGAACACUAGUAAUUUUCUGGCAGGAACCUCGAAUGCACACUUGGUGGGAUUCUAUUUCAGUUUGUACCUUCUCAGCCUGUUGAAGAAUUUCCUCUGAUCUUCCAUGUGGUAAGUAGCUUUUUUGGAUUUGAUGAUGACAUCAUCUACAUAUACCUCGAUUUCCUUGUGUAUCAUUUCAUGGAAAAUAGUAGUCAUGGCCUUCAUGUAAGUGGCACCAGCAUUAUUUAACCCAAAUGGCAUCAUCUUGUAAUAAUACAUCCCCCACGGCGUAAUGAAAGCCAUUUUCUCUGCAUCUUCCUCAUCCAUCCAUAUCUGAUGACACCCGGUAAAAUAAUCAACAAAUGAAUGUAGCCCAUGCUUGGCGCAGUUGUCAAUAAGAAUGUGUAUGUUUGGCAAGGGGAAGUCGUCUUUAGGACUGGCCUGAUUAAGAUAUCGGUAGUCGACACAGACUCUAACCUUCCCAUCUUUCUUUGGUACAGGUAUAAUAUUGGCUAACCAUUUUGGACACUGUACCACCCUGAGAACCUUGGCUUUGACUUGCUUGGUAACUUUUUCCUUGAUUUUCAAACUCAUGUCAGGCUUGAAUCUGAGUUUCUGCUUUACCGGCGGACAUGUUGGAUCUGUUGGCAGUUUAUGAGCUAUAAUGGAUGUACAGAGACCAAUCAUAUCAUCAUACGACCAGGUGAAUAUUUCCUCGUAUUCCUUUAGAAACUCUAUGUACUCUUUCUUAUAUGAUGGUGACAGGUGAACACUAAUGCGCGUUUCUUUGACAUUCUUUGUAUCCCCUAAGUUGACGACCUCAGUUUCGUCCAAGUUAGACUUAGGCCUAUUUUCAAAACCCUCAACUUCUUUAAUGACCUCUUCAGGUAUAUCAUCUUCUUUUGAGUCUAUAUCUUUUUAUUGUGUUGUCUCGUUGCAAGUCACAAUCGUCAAUUAAUCAUCAAGAUAAGUAAUAGUAAUGUUGUGUAUAUAAAGUAAGUGAUAAGGAUAAUAAUAAGAGUGAGAUAUAUAUAUAAGAAACUGAAAUGCUUUGAUUAAAUUUCAUAACUGUUUGGAACAUCGGAGCUCUUUUCAAAAAAGAAAUAUGGAAAUAAAAUCAACUAGUAAAAGUAAAAUGUGAUUCACGGUGAUUUGUUUAGCUUUGCCAUCCUGAAGAUUUCCGAGCCCUGGUGGUCCUGAUUGACUAGUUAUUAAGGCGUUCUCCUCACUUCACUGCUUAUAUGGAAGGGUCUUCCUCCCCUUCCUCCUCGAAAAGAACACAACAGUCCAUAUCAUCGUUCUCCAGAAAUAGGUUCUUCAUUUCUGCCAAUGCUUCCUCUUCUUUUCAAAAUUAAAGAAAAUACGGAAAGGAAAUCGACUGGUAAAAAAGUAAAAUGUUAUGCAUGGUAUUUUUUUAGCCUUGCUACCCCAAAGCUUUCUGGGCCCUGGUUGUUAUGAUUGACCAAUUAUUGAGGCGUUCUCCUCGGUUCACACUUUGUAUGGAAGGGCCUUCCUCCCAUUCCUCCUCGAAAAUAACACAGCAAUCUAUACCAUCGUCCUUCAGAAAUAGAUAGUUCAUUGCUGGAAAUGCUUCCUCUUCUUCUGACCCAUAUAUGGUUUCUGCCGGUUGGAAAGUCUGCUCUAGAUAAGGUAUCAGAUGUUCUAGUGGAUAUUAGGGAUCGCUCCAUGGUGGCGACCAGUGGUUGAAAUCCUCCCAAGCGUAUUCAUACCCCAAAUCAAAAGUGGUACCAUAUUUUUUCAGUUUGAUGGGUUUGGUAAUUCUUUGGAGGUUUUUGCCAAGUCCCUUUCCAGGCUCAUAUCCACACCAAUUCAGGAUACUCUCAAUCUUGUUAUCCCACCAUUUAUCUUGUUCACAAUGUUGACCAGUUCGAUGUGAUGGUAGGUUUCUCCGCCUAUUCUCCUCCUUUCUCCAAUCAUCGGGAUGGUAUGGCAUCUGUAUAUGGGGUUUCUACCAUCGCCAUGAAUAAUCACUUCUUAAUGAUUCCACUCCAAUUUCAUAGCUUGGUUCCGCGUUGACGCUACAGCUCCAGCGACAUGUAUCCAGGGCCGCACUAAUAGCAAGUUGUAGGAUGCUGUGAUGUCUAUCACUUGAAAGUCAACGUCAAACCAUGUUGGUCCCAUCCGCAGGCAUAAAAUGACUUCCCCAAUAGUGAAUCUUUGGGACCCAUCGAAGUCUUUGACAUUGAUAGCCCCAUCUUUGAUCUCAUGCAAGCUCUUUCCCAAUGCACUGAGGGUUAUCAAUGGACAUUUGUUGAGGCUGGAUCCUCUAUCGAUCAGGUCUCUAGUAAUGAAAUAAUCCUUGCAUUGCACGGUGAUGUGCAGUGCCUUGUUGUGACUCAGCCCUUCCGGUGGCAACUCAUCUUCGUGGAAGGUGAUUGUUUGGCUCUCCAGUAAUUGCCCUACCAUAUUUUCCAUUUCUCCUCCAGUUAUGUGACUGGGCACAUAUGCCUCACUCCAUAUCCUGAUCCAGCAUUCUUCUGCGCAUCGGAGCUCUGCAGAAGAGCUAGGAUGGAAAUUUGUGUCGGUGUCUUAUUUAGUUGUACAACGACUGAGUACUCUUUUGCCUAUUUCAUCCUCCAAAGAUCAUCGGGCCCAGUUUCAAUAAGUUUUCCAAAUGCUUUCUUACUGUACUCAGCUAGGUGUUAUGGGGUGUAAACUUGUUUAGUUCUGGUCAUACCUUGCACAGCAAUUGCUUCUCCAAAUUUGGUUUUUCCUUUCCUUAUUUCUUCGGCUGUGUAAUCCCAUGGUAUGACAUUUGAGUGGAACGGUGUUAUGUCUGAUGUUGCUACCAGAAUGAGCACCCUUGGAGGUAAUACAACGACUUCAAAUGGCGCGGGUGCUUUUGGAACUCCAAACUCGACAUUAAUCGGUUAGGGCGCCUUCGCAGAAGAAAGUGCUUCAAACUCGAGUAAUAUAGACUUGUUUAUUUCGUUGCCCCCGAAGGGCUGGUUCUGGACAACAAUCGGGUUAAGUGUGAAUAUUGGUUUCUUUGGCUCAUCACCCUCAGCAAUCAAUCAUAUCGACCCUUUGGUGUCCCAGUCAUCUUUGAUCUCGAUCAUGUGAAUGCCCCCACCCUUGUGGUCAGGCAGAGGGUUUUUGCAAAUAUUAGGAUUAGGCUCAUCUUCUAUGAUGAUCUUAUUGUCGAUUAGGGUUUAGAUCUUGUCCUUUAGUGAGCGACACUCCUCAAUGGCAUUUCCCUUCAUGCCAGAAUGGUACGCACAGGUUUUGUUUGGGUUGACCUAUUGGGAAGGAUUUUCUGGAGUUAUGGCUGGGAUAGGGGUGACGUAACCAACAGCUUUAUGUCUUUUAUACAACUUUUCAAUUGGUUUGGCGAUGGCAAUAUAUUGUCUUGGAGGUCUGCGGUCAAAAUUUGGUCUAUGUCAAGUGAAAUUUGGCGAGUGGGAGGUGACUGGUAGUGAGAGGAUUGAGUAUUAUAUGCUUGGUAGACAGGUGCGGGUUGAGAGUAUCUUGGUGAAGUGGGCUGAUAUGUGGGAGGUGGAGACGAUUGAUAAACGGGUGGUCGACUUUGGUAGGAGGGUGUGGGUGUUUGGUAAUUUGGGUAGGCUAAUAUGUAAGUGGAGGUGAUGGGUAUGUUUGGUAUUUUAUCGGGAUUUUGUUCUCUGCGCGACCAUCACGGCACUGACAUCCUUCUUCUUAAACGUGCCAGCAGACUGUACAGCCUUGCUUGUGGCCUGUAAUACUUCAAGCUUAGUAACCAUACCACUAUUAAUGCCUUCCUCAAUUAUUUCCCCUAGGUUGACCAUAUUAGAGAAUUUCUGGCCCUCGAUCAGCAUCAACCUCUUAUAAUAUUGUGGAUCCUGAGCCCGGACGAAGAAUUUGUUCAUUCGUUCCUCUUCUAAGGCUGGCCUGAUCUUAGCAGCCUCUGAUCUCCAACGAGUAGCAUACUCGCGGAAUGUCGUUAUAGGUUUCUUCUUCAAAUUCUGGAUGUAAAAUACGUCUGGUGCAUUCUCUGUAUUGAAUUUGAACUUGUCUAUGAAAUCGGACGCCAUACCUACCCAGCGUUUCCACUUCUUGGGGUCUUGGAUGAUAUACCAAGACAGAGCAUCCCCUUUCAGACUUCUCAUAAAGAGCUUCAUACGGAUCUUCUCAUCCUUUCCAGCUCCGACCAGUUUGUCACAGUAUGUUCUCAAAUAUACUCUAGGGUCUCCCGUUCCAUCAAACACUUCAAACUUGGGAGGUUUGUACCCCUCAGGAAGUUCAACAUCUGGCUAAAUGCAAAGGUCCUCGUAAUUCAUCCCCUCAAUACCUUUGUUUCCUUCAACACCAUGGACUCGGUUAGUCAACUUCUUGAGUUCUGCGGUCAGGUUCCUGAUGAGAGAGUCUUUAUCAUCAGACUCAGGUGUGCUUGAGAUUGGUUGAGUAUAGUAAGGUAUGGUUUCCAUGUAUAUGGGGGUGUUGUGGAGAGGAAAAUUUGUGUGGCUCAGGGAUGAGCAAUGGAGGGUUAUUAGAAGUGUGGCAUGUGUUACAAUGUUGAGUAUGAAUGAGUUGUUUUUGUGUUUGUGGGGUGUUAUAUGGAGGUGCGGGAUUCUGGGUGUUGGGAAUGUUGAUAUUGGGAGUGGUUAGGGAAAAUGACAAGUUUGUCAGGUUCCGAACUUAAUCCAGUUCUUCUCAAAACUUCACUAACUUCUACUCAAGUUGGGCAGCACUUUCCUUGGAGAUCUAGCUACCCUGAGUAACCUCUGUUCGUUCAUCCGAGUUCUCCUUUCUGAUGUUGUUCAAGUCUUCCAUUUUAUCCAUUUUCUUAUUUUUUAUAGGACUUGGAGGAGGAGGAGGUGGAGGGCCCUUGGAUCUCGUACAGUAUGAUGAUGAUGCCACAGUGCACAAACUAACCGUUGGGAAGGGAAAUAAAAAUAAAAAUAAAAGAAAAAUAAAAAAGCAAUAAGUUAGUGUGGGUUAUGAAAAGAAAAUGUUGCAAUAUUUAAACAUAUUGUGCACGAAUAUAAAUCGUGUCCUAAUUUGGGUGCCUCGUGGUGCCCGAGAUCGGCCUAGCGACAAAUAGUUUUGGAGAACUUAUAAUGCUAAAUGUCUCAUUUUAUUGAUAAAAAUAAGACGAAUCCCAAAACGACACUAAAUAGCGGAAAGUAAAAUAUCACUAAUGACCAAUGGCCUUAUUAAAUUAAAAGCGAAAAGAAAAGACUCCUAACUACUUGGUCUGGGAAAGAACUUCCCCAAACUUGGCAUCUUUAUCCCCAUCGAACAGUUUCACCAGCUUGCACAAUCCUAGUAGCAAAUAAGCUCGGGCCAGAUGUCCGCCCGUAUUUCCCUCAACGUUUUGACAGUCUUCAAUCCUUUUGAUGAACUUUCCUUAUAGCUCCACUAGACCCCGCUCAAAAUACCCCAGUCUUUUGUUGGCGCUUUACAGCCAUAUCUUUCCACUAUUUAAUCAACUCCUGAUGGGCUUCUUGUACCUCCUAGUGCUAGUUUUCACCUUCUCAAAUUCUCUUGCACAGUUGGUUGUACUUAACCCGUCUUUCAGCCUUUUUAGCGAUGACACUAUGACCUCGAAUGAACCCGGGCUAACCCAAACCAUUAUAAUUUUCUUCCAACCAACUCUAACAGUAUGGUGCACAGCCGGCGUGAUACCUUUCUGGCUCAAUAGAGUCUUUCCCCAAGAUUAUUUUGCAGUGCCACAUGUGCUGAACUUGGAACUUGUAAGGGCUAUCAUCAUCCUGGAAGUCAUCCCUAAAGUGAAUCAUCUUGUCGACCCUUCGUAUGACUUGCUUUCUUCUUGCCUACCUCAUGACACGGAGAGGGACAUAGGAAUAAGUUCCCUUCAGACCAAUGAGUAUGAGAAAUGGUGCAUCUCGGGAUCGAACAAUGAAUUCUUCCGUAGGGAACCACUCGAACAUCCAUUGUACCUGCCCUUCUUUCAGAUUUUCAAACAAUUCCUACCCAUCCUCUAGCGUUCUCUCGCUGAGCGAAAACAUCCAUUGAACCUGGUCUUCUUUCAUAUUUUCAAAUAACUAUACCCAUCCUCCAGCAUCCUCUGGAUGAGCGAACAUGUUAGGCAAAUAAUUAAUUCGCCUUGGCUGAUGGAAGGCGAUGUGAUCAUCCCAGUCUCUGCAAAGAAUCUCUGGCCGAUACUCACCCUUUUGGAGUUGCUCCAUGAGCCAGAGCUGGAGUAAUGGAUUGCAACCCUCAAAAUGAUUGGCCCCUCAUUGACAGUUCUUUGGGGAUCAGUAUAUAUCAGCAAAGAUCAUAGGUACUAAGCUGAAAGGCUGCCCGCCAAUUCCUUCCAUCAAAGUCUUGGUGACCAUGACCAGUCUGGUAUGGAUCCAUGCCUUCUUCAUGGGGAACACUCAUUCCCAAAAAGUAGAACAUAAAGACGAAGACCCUCCUAUGGAUAUGCCCUAAUGAGGUAAGGGAAAAUUCAUCUGGGUAAGUGCGGUAUGACUUGCUAUGGCCGUACCUCUCAUACAGAUAGUCGAAUGGAAUGUAAGAGUCCUUCAAAUAGGUUAAAUCUUGGUUUUUCUUUAGUCCCAUCAUCUUGAGGAAACCCCUACCCUUGCGAUUUUCUGGCAUAAUCAAACCUGAAUCUCCCAAGGAAUACCAGCUAACCAUCCUAUUUCCUCGAGCAAAGGAGUCAUUUCAAAGUCCCCGAAGUGGAACAUGGAUCUGUCACUAUCCCAUAAUAGAAUUGCAGCCUCUAUAAUUUUGUUGUCAGGCUGGAUCUCUAGAAGAAAGGCAAAUUCCCUAAAUACUUGCGGGCGAGUGUCUGAUCACUAGAGUGAAGGUCUUUCUACCAACUUAGCAGCAUUGGGUGAAUGUUGGUUACCAUGCCAAAUCUGGAGACUUCGUACCUCAUUUUCUGCAAAAUAAAGUGUUAGGCCCUUACCCCACCGGACUCAACUAUUUAAACCAAUAAUUGGCAUAAAAAGCAUUUAGUUCUCCAAAUAAAUGCACAAAAUAUGGUUGUGUCCGUUUGGGUUUCAAGAAAACCCGAUGGACUUUGGAAAAGGCUAUCUUAAUGAGUCAUUAUAUGGACAACAUAACUGACUCGUCUAGGUUUGACCAUGAUGCUUGCACAGAUAAACGGAGUAAGGUUUCUAUGGGGGUAUUAGACUGGUACCCUUGAGCGCACAACUCAAGAGGGAAAGACGUGGAACCUUUGACUGCACCGCUGAUCGACCGGUUUUACCGUAAUUACGCCUUUGCAAAAUUUAGAGGAUGAUAUUAUUGGAAGAGUGCAACCACUCAUUAUAAGCAUUGCUAUGGUAUUUGUUCGCAUGAGUGGAAUAUGAUGUUGAAGAUGUAAUUACAAGAAUAAAACAAGUUGUCAUGUAUUUGCACGUUCAUAUGAUAAUGAUUACAAUAAUUGCUUGUAAUUACAAUAGUAUUGAAGUAAAGCAAUAAAAGAAAGAGUUAAAGAAAAGAAAUAAAGAACCAAGUCAGUUCGAAGUUGAAGGAGAUAAAGACAUUUAAUCAAGUCAAUAAAAAAGCAGUGAAGUCACAAAUAACAUGCAAUGGUAAAAGCAUAAAGAUUCCCCAGCCGAGUCGCCAUGCUAUAUCGCCCCUCUUUUUCUCGAAAUCAGGCUUCACAUGUGACAACACUUUUAAUUGUAUAUUAAAAGAGAAGAGUCACCACCUAACGAUUUUUAAGGUACUUUAGGGAGCCUAUUUGCAAAUAACUCUGUUUGACUAGUCAAUGUCACCAAAAAUCGAGUAAGGGCUCAAAUUACCUCAAAAAAAUGUGUUAGGCACUCUUCGAGGUCCACAAUUAUGGUUCCCGGCCGAAUUCUAGAAUACGUGGGAUUAUUGGGUUAAGCUAAAGUAAUAUAAAUAUAUACACAAACCAAUUUAAUUCUUAUCCUAAGUAAAAUAAUAAAUUAAUUGUGCAAAACUGUUAUCGUACUAAGAGGGCUCGGUAUUUUAAAUAUGUGAUGUUACUACCAGUUAUAAAAGAAAUACUUACAAAAGAAAGGUUUCACCGACGUGUGAAACUAAGUACAAUAUGUAUUACAGAAUACCAGUGCCAGUUAAAGAAAAAAAACCAAACAACAACAACAACGACGACGACGAUGAUGACCCAGAAAAAUUCCACUAGUGGGUUCUGGGGAGGGUAGUGUGUACGCAGACCUUACCUCUAACCCGAAGGAGUAGAGAGACUGUUUUCAAAAGACUCUCGGCUCAAGAAGACAAAAAGACAAAGGAAGACAAUAUUAGUAAUACCAUAGAAAUAAUAUAUAUAUAUAUAUAUAUAUAUAUAUGAAAAAUAGAAAUAACAUGAAAAUAAAAGGAUGAUAUAAAGCAAAGCAAAAAUUGUAUCCCUACCAAACUAGUCUCCCAAAGUCAUGACAUAAGGCAAAACUCAACUACCUCCUAGCCUAUAACCCUAAUACUCGACCUCCACGUGUUCCUAUAAGUACCAUGUCCUCGGAAAUCUGGAGCAUCGCCCUAUCCUGCCUAAUCCCCUCCCCCCAAUACUUCUUGGGCCGCCCUCUACCUCUUCUCGAAUCCUCCACAACCAGGCGUUCGCACAAGUGACAUGUCCUUGGAAAUCUGGAGCAUCGCCAUAUCCAGCCUAAUCAGCUCCCCCCCAAUACUUCUUGGGCCGCCCUUUAUCUCUUCUCGAGCCCUCCACGACCAGGCGUUCGCACCUUCUUACCGGAGAAUCUAGGCUUCUUCUCUGAACGUGCCCAAACCACCUGAGCCUUGCUUCCUGUAUCUUGUCACCAAUGGAAGCCACGCCCACUUUCUCCCUAAUAACAUCAUUCCUGAUCUUAUCCAUCCUUCUAUGCCCGCACAUCCACCUUAACAUCCUCAUUUCUGCUACCUUCAUCUUGUGGAUAUGUGAUUUUUCAACCGGCUAACACUCAGACCUAUACAUCAUGGCCGGGCCUGACCACCGCUUUAUAGAACUUACCUUUGAGAAUCAGUAGCACUCUUCUGUGACACAAUACUCCAGAUUUUAACCUCGACUUCAUCCAUCCUACCUCGAUACAAUGCAUAACAUCAUCAUCAAUCUCCCCUCCCCCAUGGAUAACUGACCCAAGGUACUUGAAGCUAUCUCUACUCGGGAUGACCUGUGAUUCAAGCCUCACAUCCACGUCCACUUCACUCUGCUCAGUGUUGAACUUACACUCUAGGUAUUCCGUCUUUGUCCUGCUAAGCUUGAAACCCUUAGAUUCAAGAGUUUGUCUCCAAACUCCAGCCUCUCGUUAAAACCGGUUCGUGAUUCAUCAAUCAGAACUAUGUCAUUGGCAAAUAGUAUGCACCAUGUCACAUCCCCUUGAAUGUGAUGUGUUAACGCGUUUAUCACCAGGGCGAAAAGGAACGGACUGAGUGCAAAACCUUGGUGUAACCCCAUAACAACUGAAAAAUCCUCAGAGUCACCUCCUACUGUCCUAACCUGAGUCUUUUCCCCAUCAUACAUGUCCUUAAUCGCCAUAAUGUAGGGAACUGACACGCCUUUCGCCUUCAAGCUUCUCCAAAGAACUUCUCUAGGGGCCUUGUCAUACGCUUUUUCUAGGUCAUAAACACCAUGUGCAUAUCUCUCUUUCUAUCCCUGUGCUGUUCAACCAACCAACCUUCUAACAAGGUGUAAUGCUUCUGUAGUAGAACGACCCAGCAUGAAACCAAAUUGGUUGUCGGAGAUGGAUACCACCACACUCAACCUUGCUUCAACCACUCUCUCCCACACUUUCAUAGUAUGGCUCAGUAAUUGAUACCCCUAUAAUUGUUACAAUUAUGGAUUUUACCUUUGUUCUUAUACACUGGAACCAUCGUACUACACCUCCACUCAUCCGGCAUCUUCUUCACCUUAAAAAUAACAUUCAACAACCUCGUCAACCACUCCAACCCUGUUCUCCCCACACACUUCCACAAUUCUACCGUGAUCUCAUCAGGCAUGAUCCUUUGCCCCUGCUCAUCCUACUCAUAGCUCUCACAACCUCCUUAACAUUGAUGCGCCUCCAGUACCCAAAGUCACAGCGACUCUGGAAAUAUUCCAAAUCACUGAGCACAAUAUCCCGAUCCUUUCUGGGACUCAUCCAUCAAUACUCUACCAUCGUCGUCCUUGAUGCAUCUGACUUGGUCUAAAUUACGGGCUUUCCUCUCCAUCAGCUUGGCCAGCCUAAAUAACUUAUUUUCUCCUCCUUUCUCCCCUAGUUCCUCGUACAUACGACUAUAGGAUGCAGUCUUAGCCUCUGUGAUCGCCCACUUCGCUUCCUUCCUAUCUAUCUUAUACCUCUCCACAAAACCAACGUAGAAUGAAUAUGAUUUGACAAAAAAUUAUGCAAUCACUUAGUCAGUAUGAACUACGUAGGAGAAAUCUAUUAGUUAGGGGGUCGUAACUCUUAGAAUUAGAAAUUGCUCAAAAAAGACUCACAAAGACAAUGUUAUUUUUAUUGUAAGGCAAGAUCUAGUCAUUCAUGACAUUAUGAACUAGAUGCUGACCAAAUUUUAAAACCACACGUACAAGAGCGCAUACCUAGAAUGUCACUCCUAAAAAACAAGUUCUAUGGCAACCACGACACAUAAGCAAGCAGAUAAAGUUAAUAAGCUAAUGUACACCUAGUUCAGGCAGGGAUAUAGACUUAAGAGUGUCAAAUAAACAAUUAUGAUAUAUAAAGUAAGAGUAAAGGAAACCAGACACUAACCUUUAGUCACAAAAAGCUAAAGGAAAUCAUAAAUGACUUAAUGCUCAAUUUGAAAUACCAUCUAUUAGUGCAUUCACUAGUAAGCGAGCAAGCCAUCAGAGGUUCAUGGUAGACUUCAUUCUUCGUGGAGAAGUUGGCUCCGACAAAUGUCCAUGGCAGUUGCAGCUCAGACACAAGAAAAUAUUUAUUAGGUAAAAAUGUGCGCAACCUUAAAGGCGUGGCAUGUGACAAUUAUUAGUCACAUGUCGUUGUCCUUGACGGCGACUUAAAUGUGAGGUCAAAAAUUAACACAUAAGCAAGUAGAGUAAGUAAUUUUGACUACCCGAUCAAAACAAGGCUAACGCGCAAUAAGUUAUAUUUUAUUCUAUUAAAAUAAAUACUUAGUCAAGUAAAGCAUGCUGACAUUUAGCAAAUAUUGCAACAAGUUCAUAUAGUAAAUCAAAUAAUCAUCAAAAGAAAGACCGGCCUAGUCAUUUAAACAAAAAUCAAACAUUUAAGGACUUGACCUCUUAGUCCUUUAACCUCCCACAUAUUAUCGAUUAACUUGGGGGAGGUAUACACAUAAUGGGUUAGCAAAUUAAUAUUCAUAAGCUAGUUCAAACAAUUAAAGAAAAAUAACAACACAAUGCUACGACCAUUUCAUUUUAAAUGACAUAUUCAUUUGCAUCUCAUACAUUUCCAUCCAGUUAGACAAGAACAUGAUGCCCUCUCACACUUUGUUUAAAGAAGAUGAGAGACAUUACCAGUAAUCAAGCUAUUACAAACAAUUCAGUCAUAAUGCGAAAGUGAAGAAAUAUUAGUUGCUCUUCCACUAACUCACGUACUCAUAAUUCUUUUAGAGAAACAUGAGCAGAUUCCAAGAAGUUAAAUAAAAAUUUACAUCUAAAACUUUACAUAUAUAUAUAUAUAGACACUUUUCAAAUGUAAUAUAUGUAUAGGUCAAAAUAUGACCCCGAGAUAAUUAAUGAGAUUAAUUAUAUCUUAAGCUAAUUCUUAGUUAAUAAGUGAUAUGACCACUUAUUAAUCACGAUACCCGAUUAUCAGCCGACUCGAUCAAUAAGGCUAUGACCUAUCCGCCAUCGUAAGGACGGAACCUCAGUAUAGUCACGACCCUCCAUUGCCAGCUCAUACAGCUUAUAACUAUAAAUACUAAGAGAAAGAACCGUAGAAGGGGGGUUGCUUCUCUUCAUCACUACCCUCAAGAAAAGAGAGAACAUGAUUGUAAGACUCUGAACCCCUCCAUGGAGAGGCAGACCGAAUCACUCAUAUCAAUAAAAACUCUCUAUACAUUUCUCCUUAAUGAAUAAUACUCGCUUCUUAUUCUUUCUUUUGGUCCCUUGAUUUAUUACGAUCUGCUAUGAUUGGCCCUUAAAUUAUUUUGAUUGUCUUAUGCUUGUAAAGUAUGUGAUAACUUUGAGCAAAAUAAUUUGGCGCCGUCUGUGGGAAUUUCAUAGCAAAAAUCGCGUAGUUCUUCCCCGGACCAAAAGGAAAGAAACACCAAAGAACAACCCAGCUCGAACAAGCUAAAGCGGCAUAUCGGACAAAGGGAACUCGAAGAUAUCGAAUUGAGACCCGACUGCUCUGACACUCCUCUAUCGGAUAGUGAGAGCAAGAAAAAGAAGCAGUCCCCCACCCUCUUUUGAGGGUGGAUCUUUGUAAGGCAUCUCCCGCAUCUCUGAUACGGGAUCCAGCCGGAAAUCGGCAUGAAGGUACCUCAAACCGAGAGUCACCUCAGACCAGCCUACAUACAUCGCUUGGAAAGACAGCAUAUGAGCCGCUCAAGAUCUCUACUCAAUACUAAGCUUCAGUCCUCAACCACCGACAUAACGAAAUCCAGGCUAUAUGCCUUCGACAAUAGGUUAAACCACGGUUGAACUGGGACUCAGGCUAUGCGCCUUCGCCAUCAAAUUAAUCAAGGUUCAACCACGGUUGAACUAGGACUCAUGCCAUGCGCCUUCGCCAUCAAAUUUAUCAAGGUUCAACCAUGGUUGAACUGGGACUCAGGCUAUGUGCAUUCGCCAUCAAAUUUAUCAAGGUUCGACUACGGUUGAACCGUGACUCAGGCUAUGCGCCUGCGACAUCAAAUUUAUCAAGGAUCAACAACUGUUGAACUGGGACUCAGGCUAUGCGCCUUCGCCAUCAAAUUUAUAAAGGUUCGAGUACGGUUGAAUUGGGACUCAGUCAAUGCGCCUUCUCCAUCAAAAUAAAAUGUUCAACUACAAGUAGAACCGAGACUCAGGCUAUGCGCCUUCGCCAUCAAAAAUAAAAAGUUCAACUACAAGUUGAACCGGGACUCAGGCCAUUGGCCUUCGCUAUCAAAUUUAUCAAGGUUCGACUACGAUUGAACUGGGACUCAGGCUAUGUACCUUCGACAUCAAAUUUAUCAAGGUUCUACUACGGUUGAACCGGGACUCAGGCUAUGCGCCUACGAUAUCAAAUUUAUGAAUGUUUAACCAUGGUUGAACUGGGACUCAGGCUAUGCGCCUUCGCCGUCAAAUUUAUCAAGGUUCUAGUACGGUUGAACCGGGACUCAGGCUAUGUGCCUUCCCCAUCAAAAAUAAAAAGUUCAACUACAAGUUGAACCGGUACUCAAGAUAUGCGCUUUCGCCAUCAAAUUUAUCAAGAAUCAACUAUGGUUGAACUGGAACUCACGCUAUGCGCCUUCACCAUCAAAUUUAUCAAGGUUCAACUACGGUUGAAUCAGGACUCAGGCUAUGCGCCUUUGCCAUCAAAGUUAUCAAGGUUCAACCACGGUUGAUCCGGAACUCAGGCUAUGCGCCUUUACCAUCAAAUUUAUCAAGGUUCAACCACGGUUGAACUAGGACUCAGGCCACGCGCCUUCGCCAUCAAAUUUAUCAAGGUUCAACCACGGUUGAACUGGGACUCAAGCUAUGCGCCUUCGCCAUCAAAUUUAUCAAUGUUCAACUAUGGUUGAAUCGGGACUUAGGCUAUGCGCCUUCGCCAUCAAAAACAAAAAGUUCAAUUACAAGUUGAACCGGGACUCAGGCUAUGCGCCUUCGACAUCAAAUUUAUCAAGGUUCAACCACGGUUGAACUCGGACUCAGGCUAUGCGCCUUUGCCAUAAAAUUUAUCCAAGUUCAACUACGGUCGAACCGGGACUCAGGUUAUGCGCCUUCGCCAUCAAAAAUAACAAGUUCAAGUACAAGUUGAACCAAGACUCAGGCCACGCUUCUACGACAACAAAUCCAACGAGCGAGACCUCGCAUGAGCCAGGCUAGAUGCCUUCGCCGUUGGACCUAACGACUCAGGCCAAACGCUAAUAUCACCAAACUUGACAAAACCCGGCCCAUGGCAAAUAGGGGCGCAGGCCCACCACCCUCGCCAUUCAAGUAAGUACUCCCAACUUGAACUACAAUGGGGACCUUGCAGUGUUCGGCACCGUUCAAACUACAAGGCCGCCAUUUUUGCCAUCACAGUCGGUAGUUCGAUCGCGCCCGAACUGGGAAUAAGGCUAAGUGCCGCUAUCUCCAAAUAACAGCUACAACUUGUCUGCACUGAGACAAAGUAGCAAGAGUGUUGACAACCAAAAGUCAACACACUUACCAGAGUCGUACCUUGAGGCAAAUCACCCCUCGAACACAUGCAAUAGAAAAAUCUAAAGAAUGGAAAACAUAAAAUAAGCACAAGACUAGCAAUGAAAAAAUUAAGAUUGCAUAUAUACUUACAAAGUCAUGCAUGGGCAACGCCCGCUUACACUCGGCCAAGGCCAGCCAGUACGAAGAAAAAAAAAUCUAAAUACCAAACGACGAAUGAAAUAAAAAAAAAGUACAUCAAAGCUUUUCACUCGGCGUCACCCGAGACACCAUCAUCACCCCCACGGGGCCAAAACCACAAUCAAUACGGGCUUCACGAGCCCUUUGAUGGGCUGCCUCAAAAGCAGCUUUGGGCACGAUGCCGGCCUCUCACGGGUUCAUAUAAACAUCUCAUUGGGCCUCGAAAAAUGUCCACAGCUCAUGAGCCUGGUUGGAAGAGCCAAUCUGGUCCCUUAGGCACUGAUUCUAUCCCUCCAAGGCCGUGAUCCGAUACGACAUGGCUUGGGCAUCCCGCUCAUAGACACCGAUGCAGUCCUCUAGCUCCACCUCUCUGAAGGCCACAGCAGCUCUCUCCGACUCCAGCCCCCUUUCAUGAACGCGGAUCGCCACCUCCAGUGCCAUAACCCUCGACGAGGCACCCUUUCUUGUAGCCCCAAAACGGCUACCUCAUUCUACAGUGAAACCACCUUCCUGUUCAAGGUCUUAGGGCAUUCGCAACAAUAGCCUGACUCUGGCACUCCCUCUCUGCUGCAGCACUCCUUUCGGCCUCUAUCUCCUUGUCUUUUUGACGAAGCUGCUCCUCGAGGGCAUGUAUCCUAUCAAGUGCUUGCUGCAUUUGAAGCUCUAACCUCGCCAACUACUCGACCAAGUCCCGGCUACGGGGGUCGUUCCCCAGGCGCUCGCAUAUCUCGCGGCACAGGUCCCGGUAGCGGCGGUACUUCUCCAACGUCCGUGAAAACAUCUCUCUACAGAUGUUGGCUCGACGGAUGCUCUCCACCUCCAACAGAUAAGACUGCAAAGCAAAGAUAAAGAUUAAAGUAAAAACAAAAUAAGGCAAGAAGAAAGUAGUAGAAGGUCAUCAUAAGUACCUUCAGGCACAUCGCGACCACAUUGUUUAUCAACCCGACAUUCGUAUCUUCCGUCAACGAUCCAUUUUCUGCCUCCGAGCAUAACAUCUCAAACAACGGCACCAAGUCGUCCCCUUGAGGCAGCAAGUUCUGCUCCAUAGGAAUCUCGAAGUAGCAGAAUCGCCCCUCUGCGUGUACUAUCGAGUGGGUAAAGCUGUCAUGGAAAAAACGGACGUCCUCUGGUUCCAAUUCAGACUCAAACCCAUCUUCACCUCCUUCAGUGCCCCUUCCGCCUUCCUCCGCAGGUGCAGAAGGAGCGCUCGAUUCCCCGAUAAAAAAAAAGCCGUUGAGGAGCUACCUCCUACCUCAAUGGAGGGAACAAUCAAUUGAGUCACCGAAGCGACAAUAUCAUCAUGGCUUGAGCAAACCGAGGCAACCCCCACUGUUUGUCCGCCCUCAAGGGCGGGCGCCGCAACCUCGCGCCUCUCCGCAAAUGAUGGGGAAGAAUCUAAAUUGAUCACCACUGGAGGGGCCGGCGUGAAGGAAACCCUCCUCCUAACUAGCGGCCUUUCCUCUUCCUCCUCCUUAUGUGAGGGUGACUCCGCCCUGGGACGCACCACCCCCGACGGCCCUUCAGUCCAAAGUACGGUCCGUGUUGGGGAAGGUAUUGCUGAAGAUUCAACCGACGACGCCCUCGGCACUAUGCGCGUUAUUGGCGCUGCAAAACGAGCAGUUUCAUCCGACCGACGGAAGGUUAGCUAUGGAGCCCUGGCACGGCUUGCCCUCCCUGAUAAUGGAAAAACAUAAGAUCAGUAAAUGGAGUUGGAAACAAGAACGAAAUAGAAGCAUAAGACGAAUCCUCACCAGUUGCAGGCCUACGGCCAUGCCUCUCCUAGAAAGAUGCCACGUGCGUAUUCCCGCUGUAUGCGGAAGCACGGCCUCGACGUAUUCACAUAUACCAGGCAGCAGAGCCAACGACGUCCUAUCUGCUACAAAAUCAACACAAAAUGCUUACGGGCAUGAGACAUAGAGAAGAAUGAAAAAGUGAAUUCGACGAUUAAAGAAAACUUAUGCACAUGGUUCCAAGACUCUGGGAACCCAGGCAAGGACAACACCAAAUGAUUGGUUCUGAUAUAGAAGAAGUGCUCGAAAGGGCGAGGGUCGACCACGUCAUCCAGUUCUUCGACCAGGCCCCUCGACCCACGAGGGCUUGCCUGAAUCAUCGUGCCACGGGUCUUUUGGGGGGCGUAUAGGCAAAGUACGUGUUGCAGUGUGACCUCUCUGCCGGCCAGCUCCGCAUACUUGAUGAACAUAACAAGCAGCUUAUAGAGAGGAGUAAGCUGGCCAGGGCAUACGCCAUAGUAGCAGCAAAAAUCCACUAUUAACAUUGGAACCGGGAGCUUAAAUCCCAACUCGAAGGGGUAGGCAUAGAAGACGCAAUACCCCCUGCGGUCGGUAUGGACCCUCUCCAUGCUUCUAGCUAAAACAAUGUUGGCAUAGCCGUCAACGCCCCAUUUUUCCCGAAGUUGGUCCAUUCUAACUUCCCCCAUUAGAGGGGCUUCAUCCACUGGAUCUUCCCCACCGUCGGCAGUGAAGUCAGUCGUCGGGCCUCCAAGCAGAGUUAGAAUCUCGUCAGCCGACGGAAUACCUUCGAUGUCCACCGGUUCAGCACCUCUUACCAUCGGCUAUGGCCUUUCAGCCACCGGAGGGUUAACCAGAAUAUUUGUCAUAGGAAUGUUUUUGUUUUCUGCUUGCCAUUGCUGAUUAGAAAAUGAAAAAAGAGCAGGAUUCGACGGAAAUAUGGGGAUUGUAAUGAACGAAGAACAACUACGAAAAUGAACUAGCAAGAGAGCGAGCUUUAUCAGAGAUCUUACUCAGACAAAUGACGAAAAGAUGAGAAAUAAAUACCUCAACCCUUAUUUAUAGGCAACAAAGGCAGCUUUCACGUAUUCCAAAAGCCAUCAUUAACUACAUGACCAACUGCAAAACGGAUCGGUUCCACAUAAACGUGCGUCAUUAUAACAGACUCCACGAAGCGGCUUUUAAGUCACCAAUCAACGUUUCCCUUCCAAAACGGUUGGAACGACCUAUGAACAUUGAGGCAACGUCCUCUGCACCUCCAAAACUUCGAUCGUCACCAAUCACAUACCAAGCGUGCCCAUGCUCCGUCGUCCACGCAACAUAUAAUUCGUCCACCAAGGACGACGUUUAAACCCUCAAAACAAACAAAAAUUCAAACGCAAUGUAAACGGCUAAGGCCUUGCACAAUAUUAAGGCUAUGACCAUCUCAAUGUAUAAAUGAUUACGGCCGUCCCCAAUGCGUAAGCAACCAAGGCCAUCGACACGAAAUGUCUAAGGUCAUCAAUUUCAACGGCAUAAUCUCCCACAUAUAAAUGGCUACGGCCAUUUUGGCCCCAACCGAAGCUGCAUUCAGUGAAGUCCGCUCAUCGAGCUCGGUCGAGGCACGACCUCAAUAAGUGGAGGGACUAACUGUAUGGGUCAGAAUAUGACCCCGAGAUAAUUAAUGAGAUUAAUUAUAUCUUAAGGUGAUUCUUAGUUAACAAGUGGUAUGACCAAUUAUUAAUCACAAUACCCGACUAUCUGCUGACUCGAUCAAUAAGGCUACGCCCUACCCGCCAUCGUAAGGACGUAACCUCAGCAUAGUCACGACCCUCAAAUUAUUUUGAUUAUUUUAUCCUUGUAAAGCAUGUGAUAACUUUGAGCAAAACAGUACCAAAAUCUUAAAAGGAAGCACAAAUACAUGAAGCAAGCAAUGCAAACAAGUGUGGAACCAACAAAGCAACUAAUUACACCAUCGCCAGCCCCCAUAUGGAAAUUCAGUAGGAUAUACUCCUUCCGUUUCAUAUUGUUUGAGAUAGUUUGACUAGGCACGAAGUUUAAGAAAAAGAAGAAGUCUUUUAAAACUUGUGGUCUUAAAAGAUUAAACAGGUAAAAGGUUUGUGGGGUCAUACCAUUCGUGUGGCUAGAAAACUUCUCACUAUAGGCAAAAAGGGUAAAAUGAAGAAUUUAAAGUUGAAUUAUUUCUAAAUUUAGAAAUGUGUCAUUUAUUUUGGAACAUGCUAAAAAGGAAAGUACCUCAAACAAUAUGAAACGGAGGGAGUACAUAUAUUCAUGACAAGAACCUCUUUCAGAUUCGAACCAACUAAAAAUCGGUAAUGGCGACGGAAACAUGCAUGAUAUCGAGUGUGGGAGGGAGCAAUCUUAACUUUGAAGCGUGAUAAAGAACAUAGAAGGCCAACAAUAUGAACCGUUUCUGAAAUCCCCGAUAUAGCGACAGCAGCGACGAGGCCGAAAAUAGUGAAAUAAAAACUAAGACGCAGUUUAUAGUACUGUGAAUAAAGUAAAGAAGAUGUAGACGUCGCCGUGAUUGUAAACGCUGGUUGCAUCGAUGUCAACAGUGAUGAGGAGUCGAAAAUUUGGAAUAUGAAGGUUUUCUCACACUAGGGUGUAGAAAACACGAUAAAAGAGAAGUAAGAAUUGGUAGUUAUUGAUGAAGAGGAGGUGGCGGGCUUUAGAGAUGCAAUGGAGUGAAGAAAACUCUUAUAUGUACAUGGAGAAGAUAAAAAAAGAAUGUCCCCUAUAUGUCCAUAAUAACAAGGUAUUUAUAGCUAAGGAAUUAUUUAUCCUCUAAGCUACAAAGACAAAUUAAGGCUACAGAUUUUUGUAAAGAAAAUAUUUGACGGAAUCAAUUAGGAAGAAUCAAAGGUCACAACUUUGGAACAACAAUAACAAUUCAGUAUAUUUUUACAAAUGGAGUUUGAAAAGGGUAAUAUAAAGAGGUCGCAACUUUGGAAAGAAAGAGAUUUGAUCUAUAUAUACAAGUGUAAGACACUACUUGUAUUAGGCGUAAAAUGAAGCCGAGGGAAUCAUGGGAUUUGAUUUUGUGUUAGGCGUAAAAAAUAAAAAGACACUACUUGUUAUGGAAAUAAAAUAACCGGUGCUUUGCAAAAAAUGAGAGUUUCAUGGAAAAGAUUUUAUGGGAUUUGUUAAAUAUGUGAAAAAAUUACUUGUGAGAUUAUCCUCCAAUAAUAGAGAAUUCAUCCGUUGGUCUCCUUCUUGUAGGGGUGUGCAUUCGAAUCGGUUUAUCGAUAAAUCGAAUCGAUUAUUUGUUAUCGAAAUNNNNNNNNNNNNNNNNNNNNNNNNNNNNNNNNNNNNNNNNNNNNNNNNNNNNNNNNNNNNNNNNNNNNNNNNNNNNNNNNNNNNNNNNNNNNNNNNNNNNNNNNNNNNNNNNNNNNNNNNNNNNNNNNNNNNNNNNNNNNNNNNNNNNNNNNNNNNNNNNNNNNNNNNNNNNNNNNNNNNNNNNNNNNNNNNNNNNNNNNNNNNNNNNNNNNNNNNNNNNNNNNNNNNNNNNNNNNNNNNNNNNNNNNNNNNNNNNNNNNNNNNNNNNNNNNNNNNNNNNNNNNNNNNNNNNNNNNNNNNNNNNNNNNNNNNNNNNNNNNNNNNNNNNNNNNNNNNNNNNNNNNNNNNNNNNNNNNNNNNNNNNNNNNNNNNNNNNNNNNNNNNNNNNNNNNNNNNNNNNNNNNNNNNNNNNNNNNNNNNNNNNNNNNNNNNNNNNNNNNNNNNNNNNNNNNNNNNNNNNNNNNNNNNNNNNNNNNNNNNNNNNNNNNNNNNNNNNNNNNNNNNNNNNNNNNNNNNNNNNNNNNNNNNNNNNNNNNNNNNNNNNNNNNNNNNNNNNNNNNNNNNNNNNNNNNNNNNNNNNNNNNNNNNNNNNNNNNNNNNNNNNNNNNNNNNNNNNNNNNNNNNNNNNNNNNNNNNNNNNNNNNNNNNNNNNNNNNNNNNNNNNNNNNNNNNNNNNNNNNNNNNNNNNNNNNNNNNNNNNNNNNNNNNNNNNNNNNNNNNNNNNNNNNNNNNNNNNNNNNNNNNNNNNNNNNNNNNNNNNNNNNNNNNNNNNNNNNNNNNNNNNNNNNNNNNNNNNNNNNNNNNNNNNNNNNNNNNNNNNNNNNNNNNNNNNNNNNNNNNNNNNNNNNNNNNNNNNNNNNNNNNNNNNNNNNNNNNNNNNNNNNNNNNNNNNNNNNNNNNNNNNNNNNNNNNNNNNNNNNNNNNNNNNNNNNNNNNNNNNNNNNNNNNNNNNNNNNNNNNNNNNNNNNNNNNNNNNNNNNNNNNNNNNNNNNNNNNNNNNNNNNNNNNNNNNNNNNNNNNNNNNNNNNNNNNNNNNNNNNNNNNNNNNNNNAAAAUCGAAACCUUAUUGAAACGAUAACGAUAAGCAUAUGUACAAAUCGAUAAUCGAUAAGUAAUUAUCGAUAAGGGUCAAAAUCGAAUCGGUAAAUCGACUGCACACCCCUACCUUCUUGUUAUUACCUUUUGGCUUCAUAUUUUGAUUAUUAGAUCUUAAAAAUAAUGCCAGCGCUAUAUGACAAAAAUACUUGAAUUAUCAAGUGCAAUAAAGUACUAACUAUCAAAUAAGGUAAGUAGAUAUAAAUUACAUGAUAUUAGUGUAAAGUAAAUCAUUAAAUUCAGAUUAUGCAUAAUUUGCUACAACUUAAAUAGUAACAUGUUGCAAAUAAGAUAAUGCUUAAAUAAAUAUAUUAAGACAUAAUAAAACUUUAAAAUGAGAGGAAAUGCAAGAGUGUAAUAUUCUAAUAAUAAUAAUAAUAAUAAUAGUAACAGCAACAACAACAACACAACAAGAAUAGUAAUAGUAUUAGUUAGAAUAACAAUAACAAUAAUAAUAAUAAUUUAAAAAUAAACUUUGUAUUGUGAUAAAAAUAGGUAAAAAUAUCAUAUUUAACAUUUACAAAAAUAGAAGCUCAAAGGAAUAAAUUCGAUAGGAGGAGGGACAAAAUUGGGUGUCAACACUUGCCCUCUUUGAUCGAGAAUGAUAAAAGAGUUGUCGGGCAAAGAAAUUGACGUAGUAGCCAAUUUUGUCCGACUAGUGAGAUAGUUAUGUAAGAAUAAAGGGAAUAAGAGUUUUGAAAAAUAUUAUGGCCGAGCUCUGAUUUCUGAGCUGCAUACAUAUCUCGGGCUUUACGAGAAUCUGACCAUGUGUAGUUCUGGAUUAGGAAGGACAUUAAUCCCUAAAAAUUUGCCUCAGUAUUGAAUUAUGAUGAUACUGGAUAUUAUGAUCGUAUAAAAAUAGAAGGGUGUAUGGUGAAAAAUAGGAUUGGGAAGUAAUGUGAUUCUACGUAAGGUAAAGAUGAUUGCAAAAAUUGAGAAAGUAGAUGUACGCGGUGAAAAUGAAUAUUAUGAAGAGGAUAUAUACACAUUUUAUACUUGAAGAGAAUGUUAAUUCUAGAAAGUUACUCCGGUGUCAGAUGGCGUUGACGUUGGAAUUGAGUAAAAAUAAAAAAUGGAAAGAUAUUGGAUGCGAAAAUUGCCCCAGUUUGAUAAUAAGAACUUGUUAUGAUAUUUUGUGUUUUUCUUGUACUUGCAAACUUCGAAGUAUUGCUAUAAAUGAUAAUUAGUACGUAAGCACAUAUAAAAAUUAAUCGGAUGAAUGUAAUUUACGGAAAAGAUUUAAAAUGAUACAAAUUUCCUUUACACCAUGGAUGUUGCUUGCGGACGAUGAAAAUAAUGAUGCCCUUGAGCUAUAAUGUCUUGGGCUAUGGAGCGUAAAGUAAAGGAUUCUUGGGCACUGAAAUGGUGUUCUUACGCCAUGGAGAUGAUGCCUUCGAACUAUGACGUCUUUGAAUAAUGAUGUGCAAAAGAUUAAAAGGAGUCCUCGGGCCAUGGCAUGGCGUUCUCGGGCUAUAAAAAUAGUGCCUCCAAAUAAUGACGCCUUCGAACAAUUUGGCAAUAUUUCAGCCCAUGAGAUGCAGCUUUUGGCGAUCUUUCAGCCUAUGCAAUGCAAGAGGUGGCAAUCAUUCAGCCAUGCAAAUGUAAAUAAGGUGGUGAUCUUUCAACCAUACAAGUGGAGGUAGAGCUUAACCUCGGAAGGCAGAAUGGUAGCCUUAUGCAAUGCAAAAUGCAGAUGGAGGUAGUAACCUCGGAAGGCAGAAUGGUAGCCUUAUGCAAUGCAAGAAUGCAGAUGGAGGUAGAGCUUAACCUCGGAAGGCAGAAUAGUAGCCUCAUGCAAUGCAAAAAAUACAGAUGGAGGUAAACCUUAACCUCAGAAUGCAGAAUGAUAGCCUUAUGCAAUGCAGAAAAUGCAGAUGGAGACAACGUUUAGUCUCGGAAGGCAGAAUAGUAGCCUUAUACAUGUAAUAGAGGCAAAGUCUAGCCUCAUGCGAAGAAUGGAGGUAGAGCUUAGCCUUGUGUAAAUAAGAGAAAGCAAUUUUUAGCCUUUUGAAGAUGAAGACUUUGCGCUUUAUGGUAUAUGGACCUAUGUAGGCGGUGAUCUUCGUGCUUUGCAGUGUAUGUCUGUUGAAAAAUUCUUAACGUUGUUGUACAUAUCAUUUCUUUUUGAAGACUCUGAUGAUACUAUCCUAAAUUUUGAGGAAACUUCCUCAAAAUUUUUUCCCCAAUUUUGUUUUGAAGGGAAAUAGAGUUUUUAUAAUAAUGAGACCGAACCAAAUAAUGGGUUACAUACGUAUCCCUUUUAAACAGAAAUCAAAUAAAAACAUAGAUCGUAUUUGAAGCAUAUAGAAUCGCUAGAGAGUGCAAAAUUUAUGUAGUCAAGUAGUCCCCUGUUGAAAGUUCAGGUGGAUGCUCCAAAGGAAUUGAGUGUGACUAGAAGAUCGUCCUUAGAAAUAAAAAUUUUAGAAGAGUAUGACAGGUGGGUGGGUGGAGAUUGGUAGAUUAACACGGAUUGCUUGAGCCGUUUUGACCAUUGAGACUGUAGUUCUUGAAAAGGUCUCUAUGAUUCAACAGCUACGUGGAGAUUAUUACUAACACUUGUGAGAGUAGUUUAGAAUUGAGCAAAUAAAGUACCAGAAGCAAACACAAGGGUCUAACAUACUUGGAUUUCAAGUCUUACGGCUUGGAUGUAAAAGGCGCAAGAUGAGCAAGACAUAAGAAUGUAAUGUAUGAACACGAUUAGGCCACAUUUGGCUGCGAAGACAGAAUUGAAUUAAUUGGAUAGAGGGAAGAUUGAUGUCCUGUCUUUUAAGAGUCGCCAUGAUGUCUAUGCCCCUUUUUCUAAGAGUCAAAUUCGGGUUUAUGUAUUUUGGGAGGACAACUCUAUUCCCUUUCGAGAAUUGGAUUUUGGAGUUGGAGAGUCGCCACCUAAUGACUAUCGUGCAUUUGGACACUUUAUGAAGUGUUUGAAUUGAAAAAACCAGAAUUCGGGUAAUGGUUAGAAAUUAUCUCAAGGGGAAGGUGUUAUGUACCCCUUAAGAUCCACAAGUGUGGUUCUCGGCCACGUUACAAUUGUGACUUUGCAUAAACACAUAAGCAAUUAAAACUCAAAUAAGGAUUUUCAUACAACAUUGCAAUAAGUUGAAAACCUGUGAAGAUAAGUAGAGAGAGGACGAUUUUAUGAAAAAGAUAUAAAGAAAAUAUGAAAGCAAGUAAAGGAAGAGGGGUCCUAGGUUUACGAUUAAUUUAGAUUACGUCAAUGCAAUAUCCAUCAAUCACUCCUCAGAACUAAGCAUGCAUUCCUACCCAAUUUCACUUUAACCCCGAUUAUUCAUUACAAAUUAUUACAAACCGGGAUAACUAAAAUACAGUAAUAAAAAAUAAAAUAAGAAGUUAUUCUAUAGGGAGCCUUCAACCAGGCUCAAUCUUCCAACCUCACUUCUUUCGAGUUUCACAACCAUAGUCUGGGUGCGACAAAGCUCCCUAAGGCCCCAUUUGGUCCCUGGCCAAUACCAGCACCCAAAUAUUUACCAAAAUGUUGAACAAGUGCAGUAUGGAAUUACCAGCCUUGUGCAUCAAAGUUCAGUGAGCACUCAGGUGCUCAAAGCAAUGCUUACACUAAGGGUGUUAAACGGUCUGGAUCAGCCCGGUUCCGGACCGGUCCAGACCGGUGUCGACGCUCCCUUUUUCUAAGGCGAAAUCGGGUUUACGAAAUUAUGGACAAAAAAAAUCUCAUUCCCUUUUGAGGAAUCGGGUUAUGGAAUAUGAAGAGUCGCCACCUAAUGAUUAUAAUGCAUUAGGACACUUUAACGAAAAAACAGAGUUCGGGUAAGGGCUUGAGAUUAUCUCGAGGAAAAGGUUUUAGGCACCCCUCAAGAUCCACUAGAGUGAUUCCCGGUCAUACUUAGUUGUGACGUUAAGAAGAGUAGAAGUAAACAAACAAUGUUUGCGCAUAGGGAAUAAAAAUAAGUUGAAAGUUAUGAAAGAAAAGAGAGAAGAAAAAAGACAUAAGUGGUUUUGUAAAGAAAAAAAGACAUAAGUGGUUUUGUGAAGAAAAAGAUUAAUUGAAGAAAAUAUUAAUCACAUCAUAUAAAUAAAAAAAAUGGUCCUAGGUUUAAAUAUAAUAUGGAUCACAUCGGUGCAAUACACAGAAAUCAUUCUCACAGGAGAUAUUAGCGCACUACUCAUCAUAUACAUAUUCUACCCUUCCCACCCCGUUAAGGUAUUAAAUGCAAUUAGUCUCGUUUACUUAUUGCAUGCUAACAUCCAUCCCAACCUAUCAGUCUUGAGAUUUUAGGACUUCUAAUCCUAAGGGGGAGGCAAGGGAGUAUAGGUAUAUAUGGAGUUUCAAAAGGAUAAAAUACUAGGGCGUCAAUCAAAACAAAUAGCAGUUGAAUAGGGACUGACACAAACACACAAAGGCUCAUAUAAAACCCCGUAAAUCAUAUAGCAUUUAGUUUAGCAUGUCUUACAUGUAUUGAUUUGGAAAUGGGAAAUAAAACAAACACACAAAAGGCUCAUAAACCUCCACAAAUCACAUAGAAAUUAGUUUAGAAUGUCUUGCAUAUAGUGAUUUGUUCAUUAAAAAUUAAACGGCUGACAAAUUAGUUUAACACAUAGAGUUGGAUAAAAAAUCUGCAUUAGGCAACCCGCAUCCAAUUGUCAGACGUUGAGGUAUUUUAUAUAAAUUAUUGAUUAAGAACCUGAUGCGGGAGAGGUUAGAAUAGAAGGUUGGAAAUUACAGAAGUUCAGAGAGGUCUUGAAAAAUCCGCAAAAUUGUUUAAGUAGAAGUACGGUGGAAUUGUAAAGUAGAGUUUUCAGAAGUAAGAAUGCUUUAAAAGAAGAGUGAGUUUGAAACCUGUUUUGAAAAAGAGCUUCAUGAGACGAAUAAAAUUUAGGCAGAGAGUUGAAAAAAUGUUUCAGAAAAAGAAAAUGCAAGUUUAGAAAAUUGUAGACAAGUUUGGACGAGCUUUGUUUGAAAACGCUGAAGCCAAUGGCUAGGUUAUUACUUACACCGAUUUAGGCGAUUCGGAAACCCUAUAGGUAUAAUAUCUAUACCUUGAUUUUUUAAGACUCGUUACUGUUAUUAAAUGUUAAUAAAAUAAGUAUUUUGAUUACCCUAUGGUUUGCCUAACGUUUCACGCAUUUCCUAUAGGCAUGAUUUCUAUAUGCAAUUAGUUGAUUAGUAGGUCCUAUGGACAGGAUUUCUAAUGAUUUGCAACAUGACUGAAUAUUAAUUCCUAUAGACAGGAUUUCUAGAUGAUUAAGUUAAAAAAGUGCAAAGGCCUAUAGACAUGAUCUCUAGGUGAUUUAAAGCGUUGAACCUAUAGGCAUGAUAUCUAAGUGAUUAAGUAACAACAACCUAUUGGUAUGGUAUCUACCUUUUUGGAAUAAAGUAAACCCCUCCCAUCCUCUUCACUAAUACUUUACCCGAGUUCUUUUUACAAGAUUAGUACACAACUAGAAGAAAGAAGGCAAACAAAAAUACAUCAUAGCCUACAGCUAGAUCCGAGCAGCCUAAUUCAAUCUUAAUAUCCAAUAACAUAUAUUUCACCAAAUCCGGAUUCCAGAUGCCAAGGCCUUCGCUUAUUUAGAGUGUUUCAACGUUCCAAGGAGCCUCCAGGACCCCAGGCAAUGCUUACAUUCUGAAUAAUGAUUGUAACAGAAUAGUGAAAGAGUGGAAUUACCAGCCCUCAGGCAUCCAAGUUCAGAGGGAACUCCAGGGUCCCAAAGCAUGGCUUACCAAAGGGGGGUAGAACUUAAGAACUAAGGAUGAGUGCAAAGUGAGAGAGGAACCAUAGCAGAGGGUGGUCAUACCCAGCUAUGGCAUAGGCUGGCACACCCCUGACCCCUUGCUUAGGUCAAACAAAUAGGAGCAGACUCUGGGGAGUCAAACUUAGGGUUUGAGUGGUGAUUAGGACACUACCAGACCCAAGUUAAAGCUCAACACAUAAAGGGGAGAGGGAAUGGGAAGCAUUUGAGUAGAGACUCAGGAGAGUCUAGUUCUGGAUCAUGGUUAGCAAUAUAAAGUGCUGCCAUGGUUCAUAACGGUACUCACACACAAAAAAGGGAAUAGAGGGAAGGUAUUUCCAUACAAAAAACAUACACUAACAUUAAGGAAAAUAUAAGUAAGCAUAGUAGACUGAAGAUGCAAGGACAUAGAAGAAAGAAUAGAACAUGCUAAAGUUACGGGACAUAAACACAUGGUGAAGAAUGUGUAGAAGAAGAGAAGUGAACACACAUAGUUGGAGAGUAUUAUUUAACUAGAAAUACAUACCAGUUGUAAUUCUAGUACAACAGAGAAAUAACAGCAAGUAGACAGCCAGACAGUUAACAGGAACAACUCAAAAACUUCAGCAAGCACUUGGGAAUUCAGAGGAACUCCAGAAUAUUCAGACAGUAGGAGAGAAAGGAGUAGAGUGCUCAAUGGUAGUAGAGAAAGCAGUAGUAGAGAGAGGGAUAGUAGAGAGGGAACUGUUAUUCAGUAUUGAAGAAAAAGUAUUUUUGAUUUUCUGAAGUGUGAGGACUAUUGCAAAGGUGCAGAAAGAACUAUGUUCAGGAUUGUCUAGGGUUGAAAAGGUUGUCUCUUUUUAUAGUGCAAAAACGACUAAACAAAGGCAAGUAAAUAAAAUUCCAAUCAAUCAAAUAGGAUCUACCUUAGUCAAAGGGAUUUGAUUUCAAAUGGGAAUGAGUAAUUAAGAAAAGGAAAAUAAUGAAAACUUUUUUAGAAUAGCAUAAUAAGGGUAAGUUCACAGGGUCUAUUUAAGGUAAGAAGCCUAUUGUACACGGUUUAGAAAGAACAAAGAAAUAAAGUAAUCAAACAGUUGAAAAUUUAAAAGUCUUGAAUGAACUUAGUCAGGAAAAGAGGUGAAGAGGUUAAGUUGCAAAAAUAAUUAGCAAAUCAAUCGAGCCUUAGUAAAAGGAGAUUGAAAUAAAUCAUAAUCUAACAGAAUUAGUUCAGAGGGAAAUCCUUGCAUAUAAAGCAUACCAGUGUCAAUCAAGAAAGAAAAUAUCGGCAUAAACAGUUUCAAAAUCAAAAGCUAAAAGCAAGUUUCAUUUCAGUUUAUAAACUCAGAAUGAUUUUGUGGGCCUAGGGUUUCCAGAGUAGAACCCUAGAAUCAAAACUCGCAAAAAAUCCCAGACACUUGGUUUCAGUUCGAGUAGGACAAUAAGCUUAGGGAACUCUUUCAGGGUUCCUUGAGAAAACAAACACACGUAGAAAAUCAGAAGCAGUAAGGUGAAAAAAUUGUAAAGAACAAGUUUAAGAGAAAGCUUAGAACUCAAGUGAAGUCAGAAGAGAGAAGAGAUGCAUAGAAUUUUAGGAAACGGUAAAAGAAACAAGUUUAGAAACCAAACGAACUCAUUAAAGGCAAACAAUCUCAGUAGGAGAAACAGCAAAGGACAUGCAAGAUAAACACGUAAAUCAUACUUGUAGAAACCAAUAGAAGAGAUAACGGAGUAAAGAUAAAGACACAUGCAUAUUAACGGCAAAUCAUAAGAAUGAACGAAAACACAUAAGAUAUGGCAUGGACACACAGAUUCACAUAAAGAAAGAAGAAGAAGAAGAAGAAGAAGAGGAAUCCUUUUAGGAUUUUUCAAAACCCUAAUUUUGAGUAGAGUAAUUUUAAAAGGAAAAUUGGAGAAAAGCAUUAAAACAUCAAGUGGAACACAGAUCUGUUACAGAUAUAAGAAAAUAAGGGAAGAAAAACCUCGAGAAAGCUCUUUAGGGUUUUUUAGAAAUCCUAGAAACGAGAAGACAUGGAAUGAUCUGGUCCUUGAACAAGUCUAGGCCAUGGCUAAGCCUUGUCAAAGCUCGAACAUGCCGGAACGGAGCCGGAGAGGCCAAGGGAUCUCAGAUCGGCGGAGGAUCUGAACAGGUCUGGUUAAGGCUGGAAUUUGAAGACCUUGGAUACCCACGAUUUUGGGUGAGGGGAAGUGAGCACAGGUUGUCCAUAGCCUAAGAAGCCAUGGACUCCGGUGAGAACUGGUCAGAGACAACGAUAUAGGCAGCUAGGGUUUCGAGUGUUAGAGAGAAUGUGAGAGAUGAGGGAAUUUGGGGCGGCUGCUUUGUUGGAAAUGAUUUAGGGUUUGUGGGUUUGGGAAUUAAAAAUGGUAAGUGUGAACGAGGGCCGUUGAUUAAAACAAUCAACGACCAAGAGUUAAAAUGGGAAGCGGACGGGUUAGUCAACGGGUUUGGGGCGGGUUGAAAUUAAAAUUGGGUAGUUAAUUAAGGGGUUGAAAUUGGGGUUAAUUAAGGGUGUAAUUUGGGCUAGAUUUGAAACAAAAGGGGCCAACUUUUAAAUAGCUUUUUUUUCCUAUUUUAAUUAAUAAAAAUAGCUAAAAAUAAUAUAAAAAUAAAUUGAAAACACAUAUCUAACUAAUAAUAUAUAAAUACUAAUUCAAAAAUACCAUAAAUGAUUUUAUAAUUAUAAAAUGCGGUUAAUAGUAACAUAGGCUAUAAUUGCAAUUUCAUGCAAUUUAGCUUUAAUAAUUCCAAACAAAUUUGUUAAAAAUAUACAAAUAUCAUAUUAGUUAUAUUUUUUGUAAAUAUGAGAAUGAAAUGAUAAUUUGGGAAUAAUUUUGGAUUCUUUACUGUUAAAAAUAGAUAAUAAAUCAAUUCUAAAAAUCCUUAAAAAUUGAGGGAAAAAAAUACCAAAACCUUUGGGAAUGUUUAUAUAUGCAUAAAUAUAAUAUUUUGAAAAUAUUUGAGUAUAUAUAAAAAUAUAUAUAUGAAAGAAUUUGGUAUCAACAACUGCCCCUCUUUACCCGAGGAGUAUGAAAGAGUUGUCGGGUAAACAUAAGAUGGCCUAUUUUGACCGGAAAUAGCGAUUGUAAGAGAAUUUUGACCGUGCUCUGGUUUUUGAGCUGUCUAUAUAUCCCUGAUUUUAUAGGAGUCAAGCCAUAUGUAGUUCAGGAAGCAAUGAUAGAGAUUAGAAAAGACGGACGUAAUGGUCUAGUUUAAGAAAGGUUUUGAAGUCGAACAAGUUGCGAAGAACCGGAGCGGGAGCGCUCCUGCUGAGACGGCCCUUUGUUAGCUGUGUACUUAUAAAUGAGCAAUGUGCGCAUAUGUUGUGCAUAUUGUAAAUGUGAUGCAUGUUCCCAUUGGACCAUGAAUGUUGUCUUGGACGGUUAGGAUGACGUCCUCGGACUAUAAUGUCCUGGGCCGUGAAGAGCAUAAAAGUAAAGAUUCGCAGGCCAUGAAAUAGUAUUCUCGGGCUAUGCAGAUGGUGCCUCCGAACUAUGACGCCUUUGAAAAAGUUAGUGAUCUUUCAGCCUAUGAAAAGGUGGCACUCUUUCAGCCAAAUGAAUGCAAAAUGAUGGCGAUCUUUCUGCUAGAGCGAGAAUUUAAAAUAUAGGUGGCGAUAUUUCAGCCGAAGUGAAAAUUUAGAUGUAGGUGGCGAUAUUUCAGCCGAAAUGAGAAUUUAAAUGCAGGUGGCAAUAUUUCAGCCAUGCAGGAUAGAGACAAUGCUUUGUCUCAAAAGGCAGAUUGAGCCUUAUGCGACGCAGAUGGAGACAAUGCUUAAGAUAAAGCCUUAUGCGACGCAGAUGGAGACAAUGCUUUGUCUCAAGAGGCAUAUAAGUAGCCUUAUGCAAUAUGGAGGUAGAUCUUAACCUCGGAAGGCAGAGAAUAGCCUUAUUCAAAAUGCAGGAUAGAGACAGAGCUUAGUCUCGAAAGGCAGAAAGGUAGCCUUAUGCAAAAAAUGCAGAUGGAGACAAUGCUUAGUCUCGAAAGGAAUAUAAGUAGCCUUAUGCAGGAGGGAGGUAGAGCUUAACCUCGAAAGGUAGAAAAUAGCCUUAUGCAAAAUGCAGAUGGAGACAGAACUUAGUCUCAAAAGGCAGAUAAGUAGCGUUAUGUAGGAGGGAGGUAGAGCUUUACCUCGGAAGAUAGAAAAUAGCCUUAUGCAAAAUGUAGAUGGAGACAGAGCUUAGUAUUAAAAGGCAGAUACGUAGCCUUAUGCAAGAGGGAGGUAGAGCUUAACCUCAGAAGGUAGAAAAUAGCCUUAGGAAUGUAAAGAAAAGAAUAGUAGUAAGUUCUCUUAGCUGAUAGAUGAUUAUGAUAUCGUGACUGCUGGGGAUGUUGGGUGUAGAUAGUAAAUUUGUAAAUGAGCGAUCAUUCUUCAAUCUUAUAGAGUACGAGUGUGUGGAUGUAUUCAAAAAAUCGUGAGUUCUGUAGAGGGAAAAGGUUAGUUCGUAUCCCCUGGCUCUUGAUGUCACGUAUCCUUGGAGUAGCGUUGCUAAAAAACAGCGAUGUGAAUGAUAUUUAUGCAUUAUUCGGUAAAUGUAAUGUAAAUAUAAAUUUGAAAAAUGGUUUCAUUUUGGAUGAACCAACAACUGCAACGUGGUUCAAAACAUGGCAACCUGUUCGUUCUGAAAUUUUGAGGGUCCUCCUCAAAAUUCUGCUCCGGUUUAUUGGGCUGGCGCUGCUAACGGCUGUGAUGAAUGACUAAACAUGGAUUGAUUCCAUAAUUUUGAGGACCCCUCUCAAAAUUCUUGCAUAGUUUACUGGGUUGAUUCUGAUGAGGAGACUGACAAAUUGACUUCGGAUUUUGAGGGCCCUCCUCAAAAUUCUACCCCAGUUCCAAUAUCAAGUGAAAAUGAAAUUUUUAUUAAUGUGUGACCGAACCCAUAUAGCUGUCUAUGUAUCCCCUCUUAAACGGGAAUCAGGUCAGGCGUAGUUCAAAUCACAUCAUGAAGAAACAUGUGAUCAAAUAUAGUAUCGCUUCACUGCAUCUGAGUUGAUUGUCUUCGGCCAAACUUCUCCAUCCAUUUCUGCAAGAAUGAGGUUCCUCCAGUUAAAACCUGGUGAACCAUGUACGGACCUUGCCAUUUGGGAGAUAAUUUUCCCCUUAGCUUCAUCUUGACGUGGAAAUAUUUUCUUUAACACCAGCUGCCCUGGUGUAAACUUCCUUGGUUUAAUUCUUUUGUUGAAGGCUCUGGACAUUCUGUUCUGAUAUAACUGAUUGUGGCAAACUGCAUUUUUUAUUUUUCCAUCUAUAAGGGCUAACUAUAGCGAAUUUUUACCCAUUCAGCGUCAUCUAACUCCGAUUCUUAUAUGAUCCUCAAAGAGGGAAUUUUUACCUCAGCAGGAACGGCUGCCUCUGUACCAUAAACCAGCAUGUAGAGAGUUGCCCCUUUUGACGUGCAGACUGUGGUGCGGUAUCCCAAUAAGGCAAAUGCCAACUUCUUAUGCCAUUACUUGUGCCUUUCUAUCAUCUUCCUGGAUUUUUAAACUCAUGUCAGGUUUGAACUUUCUGAGCUUCUGUUUUACCAGUGGACAUGUUGGAUCUGUUGGUAAUUUGUGAUAUGAUGGAUGUACUAAGACCAGUCAUCUCAUCAUACGACCAUGCGAAGAUGUCCUCAUAUUCUUUUAGAAACUCUGUGUACUUCUCCUUUUCUGAUGGCGACAAGUGGACACUGAUACACAUUUCCUUGACAUUCUCUGUAUCUCUAAAAUUAACGACCUCAGUCUCAUCCAGGUUAGACUUGGGCCUAUUCUUAAAAUUCUCGACCUCUCUGACGAUCUCUUCUGGUAUAUCAUCCUCUUCUGAAUCUAUAUCCGUUUGUUGCAUUGUCUCGUUGCAAGUCACUAUCGUUGGUUCAUCAUCAAGAUAGGUAAUAGUAAUGCCAUGUAAAUAAAGUAAACGAUAGAGAAAAAUAAUAAGAGCGAGAUAUAUAAUGAACUAAAAAUCCUUUGAUUAAAUUCAUAAUUGUUUGGAACCUCGAAGCUCUUUUUAGAAUUAAAGACGGUGCGGAAAGAAAAAUCAACUAGUAAAAAGUAAAAUGAUAUUCAUGGUUUGUUGGUUCACCAUCAAGAUAGGUAAUAGUAAUUAUGUGUAAAUAAAGUAAGUGAUAUAUAAUAAACUAAAAAUACAUUGAUUAAAUUCAUAAUAGUUUGGAACAUCGGAACUCUUUUCAAAAGUAAAGACAGUGCGGAAAGAAAAAAUUAACUAGUAAAAAGUAAAGAUGUGAUGCAUGGUGCUUUAUUACCCUUGCUACCCCGAAGCUUUCCAGGCCCUGGUGGUCCUGAUUGACCAAUCAGUGUGGCAUUCCCCUGAUUCACAGCUUGUAUGGAAAGGGGCUUCCUCCCCUUCCUCCUCGAAGAUAACACAACAAUCCAUAUCAUCCUCCAGAAACAGGUUGUUCAUUGUCGCCAGUGCCUCGUCUUCCUCUAAUCCAUAUAUAAUGUCAACUGGCUAUAAGGUCUACUCCAGCUAAGGUAUAGGGUAUUCCAAUGGAUAGUAGGGACCGCACCAUGGUGGCGACCAAUGGUUGAACUCCUCCCAGGUGUACUCAUACCCCAAGCCAAAAGUGGUACCAUGUUUCUUCAACUUCAUGGGCUUGGUGAUGCCCUGGAGAUUUUUGCCAAGUAUUUUUCCGAGCUCAUACCCGCUCUAAUUUAGAAUUCUCUCAAUUUGGUUAUCCCACCACUUGUCUUUGUCUAUGGCAUUGACUGGCUCAAUGUGGUGGUAUGUUUCUCCACCUAUUCUCCUUCUACCUCCGAUCAUCGGGAUGGUUUGGCGGCUAAGUAUAGGGUUGCUACCGUUUCCAUGGAUGAUCACAUCCUACGAUUCUAUUCAAAUUUCACAGCCUGAUGUAAGGUUGAUGCCAAAACCCCAAUGGUGUGGAUCCAGGGUCUCCCCAGCAAUAAAUUGUAAGAUGUCGGCACGUCUAUAACUUGGAAGUCCACAUCGAACCAAGUAGGUCUCAUCUGCAAGCACAUACUAAUCUCUCCAAUGGUGGAUCUUUGAGACCCAUCAAAAGCCUUAAUGUUGAUAGCUCCAUCUAUGAUCUGGUGCAAACCCUUACCCAAUGUCCUGAGGGUUAUUAGAGGACAUAGGUUAAGGCUGGAUCCCCGGUCGACUAGGAUCCUGGUGAUGAAAUAAACUUUGUACGACAAUGAUGUGCAAUGCCUUGUUGUGACGAAGCCCUUCUGGUGGUAACUCAUCCUCGUGGAAGGUGAACUUGUGGCUUUCCAGUACCUCCCCUACCAUAUUCGCCAUUUCGCCUCCUGUUAUGUUGCUGGGAAUAUAAGCUUCACUCAAUAUUUUCAUUAAGACAUUUUUAUGUGCCUCAGAGCAUUGCAGAGGAGCCAGGAUAGAAAUUUAUGCUGGUGUUUUGUUCAGUUGCUCAACGAUUAAGUACUCUUUGGCUUGUAUCUUCCUCCAAAGGUCAUCGGGUCAUGUUUCAAGAGCUCGUCCAGAGGCUUUCUUGCUGGACUCAACUAAAUGUUCUGGGGGUGUGUAUACCCUGCCUGUCCUGGUCAUGCCCUGUGCGGCAAUCGCGUCUCCAAUAUAUGUUUUCCCUUUCCUUUUAGCCUCGAAUGUGUAAUCCCAAGGUAUGGCGUUCGACUUGAAUGGGGUCACAUCUAUCAUGGAAACUGAAAUAGGCAGCCUCGGGGGUAACACAACAACUUUAAAUGGUGCAAUUGCUUUUGGGACCCUGAACUCAACCUCGAUUGGUUUUGGCUCCUUUGUAGGAGGCACUUCUAACUCGAGUGGCACAAACAUAUUUACCACAUCGCUCUCAUAGGGCUGGAUCUGAACAACAAUGGGAUUGAGGGUAACCGCCUUCUUCUUAGGUUAUCUCCUUCAAAAAUUAGUCCAAUUGACCCUUUGGGGUCCCAAUCAUCCUCAAUCUCGAUCACAUGGAUGCCCCCGCCCUUGUGGUCAGGUAGAGGGCUGUUGUGAACAUUGGGAGCGGGCUCUUUUGCUAUAAUGAUCUUGUUAUCAAUCAAAGUCUGAAUCUUGUCUUUCAAUGAGCGACACUCGUAGAUGGUAUGAACUUUCAUUCUAGAAUGGUAUGCGCAGGUUUUGUUGGGAUUGAUCCAUUGGGAAGGAUUUUUUGAAGUUAUGGCUGGAUAGAUGAAAUGUAACCGGCUACUUUGAGUUUUUCCUAUAAUUGGUCAAUUGGCUCGGCUUUGGCGAUAUACUGGCUAGGAGGUCUUUGGUAGAAAUUUGGUCUAGGUCAAGGAAAGUUUUGGCGAGUGGGUAGUAUGGGUAAUGAGAAGGUUGGGAGUUGUAUGCUUGGUACACAGGCAUGGCUUAGGGAUAUCUUGGUGAAGUGGGUUGAUAGAUGGGUGGUGAAGGUGAUUGGUAGGCAGAUGGUGGCAUUUGGUAUGUAGGUGAGGGUGCAUGGUAAUUCAUGGUAGGUUGAUUUGUGAGAUGAUUUGAGGGAUAGAUUUGGUACUUUAUAGGGGAUUUGAUUCUUUGCGUAGCCAUUACAUAAUUUACUUCCUUUUUCUUUGACGAGCCACCAGAUUGUAAGGCCUUGUUGGGUGCCUGCAAUGCCUCGAGAUUGGUGACCAUACCAUUCUUGAUACCUUCUUUGAUUCUUUUUCCCAGUUUGAUGAUGUUGGAGAACUUCUGACCCUCUAUUAGCAUCAGCCUUUCAUAGUAUGUAGGAUCCUGAGCCCGGACAAAGAACCUGUUCAUCUGCUCUUCCUCCAAGGCCGGCCUGACCUUAGCAGCUUCUGACCUCCAAUGAGUAGCAUACUCGUGAAAUGUUUCUGUGGGUUUCUUCUUUAGAUUUCGUAUAUAGAAAACAUCUGGUGCAUUCUCAGUGUUGAACCUGAAUCGGUCCAUAAAGUCAAAUUCCCUGUUCACCCAACUUGUCCAUUUCUUUACAUGCUGGCUGAUAUACCAUGAUAAAGCAUUGCCUUUCAGACUCCUCAUGAACAGCUUCAUGCAAAUUUUUUUGUCCCUUCCUAUUCCUACCAGCUUCUCACAAUACAUCCUCAGGUGGACCCUAGGAUCACCUGUUCCGUCGAACAUCUCGAACUUGGGAGAUUUGUACCCCUACGGGAGCUCAACAUCUCGCUGAACACAAAGAUCUUCAUAGUUCAAACUCUCAAUGCCUUUGCUACCUCCGACACCUUGGACUUGUCGACGCCCCUUUUUCCCCCCCUAAAAGGGCAAAAUUGCAUUUACGACAUUAUAGACAAAACAACUCUUAUUCCCUUUUAGGAAUUGGAUUAUGGAGUUUGAAGAGUCGCCACCUAAUGAUUAUAGUGCACUAGGAUACUUUUAAGAAGAAGAAGAUUUUGAAUGAAAAUCAGAGUUCGGGUAAGGGCUUAAAAUUAUCUCGAGAGGAAGGUGUUAGUUACACCUCAAGAUCCACUAGUGUGGUUCCCGGCCUUACUUAGAUGUGACUUUAUAGAAAUAGACAAGCAAAUGUGCAUAUAAAGAAAAAAAACUAGUGGGCAAUUUUGAAAGAAGAAUAGUACAAGUAAAAUGGAAGUUUCAGAGAAAUUAUUCAAACAAAAAAGUAAAACUAAGGGGGGUUCCUAGGUUUAACUAUAAUAUGGAUCAUUCGACCCAACAUUCCGCACAUAUUCCCAAAGAGGGGUCGCUUUAUGAUAUUAUCGCAUCGUCAUUAUCUCCAUAUUCUGCCCUUCCUACCCAGUUAAGGUAUUUAAACGUGUUUAGUCUCGUUUACUUAUUGCAUGCUAAUACCCAUCCAACCUAUUAGUCCCGGGGUAUUAGGACUCCUAAUCCUAAAAAGGGGGAAGAAGGAUAAGGAAUAUAUGGAGUUUCAAAGGUAAAAAUGCUAAGGCGUCAUUCAAAACAGAUAGCACAUAAGGAUAUACAAAUCAGACACUCAAAGGCUCAUGCAAAACCCCACAAAUCACAACACCAUUUAGUUUAGCAUGACUUGCAAUUACUGAUUUGGUCUUAAGCUUAAAGUUGAUAAUGGAUAGAUUAGUUUAACACAUAAAGUUGGAUAAUAAGUCUACUUUGAGCCCCUCGGAUCCGGUUUGUUGAAACUUAAAGUAUUUUUGGAAAUCAGUAAUUUCAUAAAACGAUAAUUUGAAACACGAAUUUGGGAUUCGCAGAAGUUCCGAAAUGGCUUAUAAAAUUGCUGAACUGCUUUAAGUAAAAUGGUUCAAGAAAAAAAGCAUUGAAAUGCAGAAAAUCAAAAAAGGAAAGGUUGAUUUUAGACAAAUGCAGGUUUGGAAUUUAAAAGAUCCUUAUGGGUUUAAAAAUAGCGUAGAAGGCAGAUUUGGUCGGAUUUCAAAAUAGACAGUAUUGGACAAAUUCUUUUAUUGAAGGCGUCUAAAACAUUAGGCGAGUUUGAAUGCUACAGGCAUGACAUCUACAGAUGGAUUUGUUGUUUCUUUUAAACGUUUAGGGGACCUACUGUUUGCCUAGUGUUUUUAUAUAGUCUUUAUAGACAUGAUUUCUAUAUGCACUUUAUUACGUAAUGUUAAAGACUUAUGGGCUGGAUUUCAAGAUGCAAUAUUAAGAUCCUACAGGCAUGAUUUCUAGGUGAUUUGCGAUAUAAAAAUGCUAUAGACAUGAUUUUUAGGUGAGAUACAAUAUUGAAAUCCUAUAGGCAUGAUUUCUAUUAUGCUUGAAAUAUAAAAAUCCUAUAGGCAUGAUUUCUAUAUGAUUAGCAAUAUAUAAAAAAUCCUAUAGGCAUGGCUUCUAUAUGAUUAGCAAUAAAAUAAAACAUCUCCCACACCCUUUUCACUAUAUUCCCAAAUUCUUUUUACAAAGCUUGUUACAUAAAUGGAGAAAAAAGACUAAGGAAAUAAGUACAUCAAAGCUAAAACGGACCCGAGGAAGCUCAAAGCAACCUUAAUGAGCAACAUAUUUAUUUUACCAAAUCCGGCGUCCGGAUUUCGAGGCCUUCUCUUAGAGUGUUUCAAAGUUUCAAGGUCUUUAAGGAAGCCCAGACAAUGCUUACACCCUAAAAUAAUGAUUAGAGUAGUGCAAGGUGUAGAAUUACCAGCCCUUAGGUAUCCAAGUUCAGAGGGAACUCAAGGUUCCCUAAGCAUGGCUUACCAGAGGGGGUAGGACUUAAAGAACUAAAAGUUAGUGUACAGUGAGAGAUUAGACGAAGACCAAUGUAAAAUGUGGUCAUAUCUAGCCAUGAACAGGGCUGGCACACCCCUGACCUUUUACAUGGCUUAAACAAAUAAGAGCAGACUUGAAAUAAGUCAGACUUAGGCCUGUGUGAUGAUUAGGAUAUCAAUAGACUGGUCAUAUCUAGCCAUGAACAGGGCUGGCACACCCCUGACCUUUUACAUGGCUUAAACAAAUAAGAGCAGACUUGAAAUAAGUCAGAAUUAGGCCCGUAUGAUGAUUAGGACAUCAACAACCCUGGGUCAAGCUCAACACAAAAAUGGGGGUAAGGCAAUGGGACUGAUUUGAGUAGAGGUUUAGAACAACCUGGUUCUGAACUAAACGUUGCAAUAGAGUACCACUCUAGUAAAAAAACAAUACUCACAUACAAAAGUGGGUCAUGGAAAGGGACCAAAUAUGAAAGCAUUUGCAUAAGAACAGAAACAAAGUCAAACAGAAGUAGACUAAAUACAUAGAAGUUUUAAAUUAAGGGAAGAAAUUUUGAAAUAUAUGGAUAAACAAAUAUGGUAAAAACUAGUCAGUACCAAGUAAGUCAAGAAAUCAAAGAUUUGCAAAUAAGGAAAAGGUUUUACCUAGGGGGAAUCAGUAGCAAUCAAUCAACCCGAAAACAAAAGGGAUUCUGAUUUAAACAUAAAUUGAAAACCUUUUUAAAGAAAGAUAACACAUAUAAAAAGAGGUUGUCAUGCUAAUCAGAGGGAUCUAGUAUAGAUAAAUCAUACACAAAAAGGAUUCAAACUUAGUACGUGGGUUCACAGUGAGUCUGAGAGAGUCCAGGGCACAAAAAGAACCCUAGUCCAAACACACAAAGCAACAUUCGUCAAAAACCCCCAAAAUCUUAGAGUUUUUUACUUGAAUCGAAUGCAGAGAAGAUUAAGCAAGCAGAUACAGUAGGAGUUUUAAUGCAAACAGAGUAAAAUACAACGGGAUUAGGAUAAACAGUAAAGGAAAACCCGCUUAAGUAUGCAUAGCAAGAACAUAUAAUGAACAUGGUUGAAAAAUGCAGUAGACGAAUCAAAUCAGGUCAUAGUGGAAGGCAAAUAGCAGAACAUAGCAUAAAAACAUGGCAUAGAAACAUAGUGUGUGAGAACAGAAAACAUAGAAUAAGAACCACAUAAGAAUAUAAAACAUACAGAAGAAGAAGAGUCAGAAAACAUUUAAGCACUUCAUAGAAAACCCUAAACCAGAAAGAGGUGAUUUUGAAAGAAAAGGAAUUUUAUAAAGGAAAAUUUGGAGAAACCCUUUAAAAACUCAAAGUAAAGCAAGAAUACACACAUAUUUUGAAGAGAAACGGAGAAAAAACUCGAGCAGCUAGGAUUUCAGACGAACCCUAGAUUGAGAAAGGCCUAGAAAAUGUCCGAUCUAAGUCAGAUAAGGCUGGAGGCAGGAUCAUGAGGCUAAGAUAUGACGGAGCCAAGCCAAAGAUGGCCGGAAACCAUAAGUCAGCGGAGGUAUGGGUGGAGACCUUUGAGGUCUAUCCUCAAACCCUCGAGCACCGGGUACACAGGAACGAUGAGAGAUGAACAUAGAUCAUCCAUGGCCUGGGAAGCCAUGGAUUCAGGUGAGUUAGAGGUCAAAAAGGGGGAGAAGGUGAUUAGGAUUUCAAGAACACUCGACCGAGUUUGAGAAGGGGAGGGAUUCAGAGGCGGCUCUAAAGUGCAAAUGAGGGGGAUUAGGGUUUGUUAGGGGUUUAAUUAAGGCAAGGCAAUCAUGGACCUUUGGUUAAAACAAUCAGCAACCACGAUUCAAAAUAGGGGUCCGGGCGGGUUAGUUUGAUUAGAUAUAGGUAUGGUUAUUUAAUGAAUUGGGUAGUGUAACUGAUGUUGGGAAUUAGGCUACAAUGUUUAAUUAAGGCAAGGCAAUUAUGGACCGUUUAUUAAUACAAUCAACGAGCACGAUAAAAAAUAGGGGUCCGGGCGGGUUAGUUCGAUUAGGAUAGACGUCGGUUUAUAUAAUGAAUUGGGUAGUGUAAUUGGGGUUGGGAAUUAGGCUACAGUUGAAAUUAAAAGAGCUAUAAUUUAAAUAGCCAAUUUUUCCUAAUUGGAAUUUAAUAAAACAGCAAACGAUGUUUAAAAAUCCAAUUAAUAAUAUUGAGGUAAUAAAAAAUGCAUAUGUAUUAAUUUAAAAAUAUUAAAAAUAAUUUUAUGGUUAAAAAAUACUAUUAAAUCGAGAAAUAGUCUAAAACUUUAAUUUCAUGCAAUUUUAGUUUAGAAAUACCAAAUGAGCUUGUAAAAUUAUGUAAAUUCUAUUUUUGUAUAUAAGAGAGAAUAAAAUAAAUUAUUUACCAAAAUAACAAAUGUUGAGAAUAAUUAUUGAAUUUUAUAUUGCAAAAAUAAGUCAUAAAUUAAUUUAAAAAAUCUUUAAAAAUGUGGAAAAAUACUAAAACCUUUGUGGAUGCUUAUAUAUGCUAUUUUUUAUAAUGAUUUGAGUAUAAAAUAUAUAGAGAAAAUUGGGUAUCAACAGCUGCCCCUCUUUACCCGAGGAGGAUGAAAGAGUUGUCGAGUAAANNNNNNNNNNNNNNNNNNNNNNNNNNNNNNNNNNNNNNNNNNNAUAUAGAGGAUGAAAGAGUUGUCGAGUAAAGAUAAGAUGGUCAAUUUUGACCGGAAAUGGAGAUCGUAAAGAGAUAUUGACCGCGCUUUGAUCUCUGAGCUGCCUACAUAUCCCUGGUUUUACAUGAAUCAGGCUAUAUCUAGUUUAGGAGUCAUUGACGGAACAUGCCGAUGGGAAUUUGGGAGGACGAACGUGAUGGUUAGAUCUGUUUAAGUGCUUAGAAUUGGACAAACUGCGGAGAGUUGAAGCGGGAUUGCUCCUGCUGAGACUGUGAGCUAACCGGAACAUCUGCAAUUGGGCGAUGUGCAAACAUUUUGCAUAAUUUAAACGUGAUGUAAGCUCCCAUUGAACUAUGAAUGUUUGUCCUUGGACGGUUAAGAUGAUGUCCUUAGACCAUGAUGUCAUGGGGCAUGAAAAGCAUAAAAGUAAAGGUAUGUAGGCCAUGGAAUGAUGUUCUUGGGCUAUGCAGAUAGUGCCUUCGAACUAUGACGCCUUUGAACGAGUUGGCGAUCUUUCAACCAAUGAGAAGGUGGCAAUCUUUCAGCCGAAUGAAUGCAAAGGGUGGCGAUCUUUCUGCCAGAGCGAGAAAUUAAAACAGAUGGUAGACGGAUGAGAAUUUCAAAUGCAGGUGGUGAUGUUUCAGCCAGUUAAAAAAUAGAGCGGCGAUAUUUCAGCCAUGCGGGGCGGAGACAAUGCUUAGUCUCAAAAGGCAGAUAUGAGCCAUAUGAAAUAUGGAAGUAGAGCUUAACCUCGGAAGGGAGAGAGUAGCCUCAUGCAGAAUGGAAAUGGAGACAGUGCUUAGUCUCUAAUGGCAUAUAAGAGCCUUAUGCAAUAUGGAGGUAGAGCUUAACUUCAGAAGGCAGAGAGUAGCCUAAUGCAAAAUGCAGAUGGAGACAAAGCUUAGUCUCGAAAGGCAGAUAUGAGCCAUAUGAAAUGUGGAGGUAGAGCUUAACCUCGGAAGGUAGAGAGUAGCCUUAUGAUAAAUGCAGAUGGAGACAGAGCUUAGUCUCGAAUGGGAGCUAAGAGCCUUAUGCAAUGUGGAGGUAGAGCUUAUCCUCGGAAGGCAGAGAUUAGCCUUACGCAAAAUGCAGAUGGGAACAGAGCUUAGUCUCGAAAGGAAGAUAAGAGCUUUAUGCAAUGUAGAUGUAGAGAUUAACCUCGGAAGGCAGAGAUUAGCCUUAUGCAAAAUGCAGAUGGAGAUAGAGCUUAGUCUCGAAAGGCAGAGAAGAGCCUUAUGCAAUGCAGGAAUGUAAAUGAGCGAACAACAGUAAGUUUUCUUAGCUGGUAGACGAUUUUGCAAUAUUAGAACUAUUGGGGAGUGCAGAUAGUGACCAUAUGAGGGUUUCGAUCCUGAAAAGCGAAUGUGCUUCGAUCUGUAACCCGAAUUUCUGCAUCCAAAGAAACAUCGUGAGUUCGGUAAAGAGGGUGGUUAGUUCGUAUCCUCCAGCCUUUGGCGUCGUAUAUCAUGGGGGUAGCGUUGCUAACAGAAGGUGGUGCAAGUGAUGUUUAUGCAUGACUUAGUAAAUAUAUAUAAAAAAUGCUUUUAUUUUGGAUGAACCAAUGAACUGCAACGUGGUUCAAGACACGGCGACCUUGCUUGCUUUGGAAUUUUGAGGGCCCUCCUCAAAAUUCUGCCCCAUUUUACUGGGCUGGCGCUGCUAACGGCUGUGCUGAAUGACUCAACGCGAAAUAAUUUCACAAUUUUGAGUCCCCUCCUCAAAAUUAUGCCCAUGUUUACUGGGUCGAUGCUGAUGCAGAGACUGAAAAAUUGACUUCGGAAUUUUGAGGGACCUCUUCAAAAUUCUGCCCUAGUUCCAAUAGUAGGGGAAAAUGGAAUUUUUAUUAAAAUGUGACUGAACCCAUAGGGCUGCCUAUGUAUCCCUUCUUAAAUGGGAAUCAGGUCAGGCGUAGUUCAAACUACAUCAUAAAAGAAAGCAUGUGAUCAAAUGUAGUAUCGUUUAACUGUCUUAGUUGAUAGGCUUCGACCAGAUUUCUCCGUCCAUUUCUACGAGAAUAAGGGUUCCUCCAGUUAGAACCCGGUUAAGCAUGUACGGACCCUGCCAAUUGGGAGAGAAUUUCCCUUUGGCUUCAUCUUGAUACGAAAAUAUUUUCCUCAGUACCAGUUGUUCUAGUGUGAACUUCCUUGGCUUGACUCUCUUGUUGAAGGUCCUGGACAUCCUAUUCCAAUAUAAUUGACCGUGACAGACAGCAUUCAUUCUCUUCCCGUCGAUGAGGGCUAACUGCUCGCAGCAACUUUUGACCCAUUACGCAUCAUCUAAUUCUGCUUCUUGCAUGACCCUUAAGGAUGAAAUUUCUACCUCAGCGGGAAUGACAUCCUCUGUACCAUAAACCAACAUGUAAGGAGCGGCUCCGGUUGAUGUGCGGACCGUGGUACGGUAACCCAAUAAAGCGAAAGACAUUUUCUCAUGCCACUGCUUGUGCUUUUCAAUCAUUUUCCUUAGUAUCUUCUUGAUGUUCUUAUUGGAUGCUUCUACAGCUCCAUUCAUCUGAGGUCUGUAAGCCGUAGAGUUCUUGUGUCUGAUCUUGAAUGUUUUACACAUUGCUUUCAUCAGGUCGCUGUUGAGGUUAGAGCCGUUGUCGGUGAUGAUUGAUUCUCGAACCCCGAACCGACAAACCAUAUGAUCUCGGACAAAAUCUGUAACUACUUUCUUGGUGACUUCCUUGUAUGAUGCUGCUUCAACCUAUUUGGUAAAGUAAUCAAUUGCCACUAGUAUGAACCUGUGCCCGUUGGAUGCGGCUAGUUCGAUUGGUCCAAUGACAUCCAUACCCCUAGUGGCGAACAACCAUGGUGAGCUUGUCACAGUAAGAUCGUCUGGAGGCACCUUUAUCAUAUUUGCAUGUAUUUGGCAUCGGUGGCAUUUUGGACGUACUGAAUACAGUCCGUCUCCAUAGUCAUCCAAAAAUACCCUGCUCGGAGUAUCUUUUUUGCCAAAACGAAACCAUUCAUUUGCGGUCCACAAGUCCCUACGUGCACUUCCUCCAAUAGUCUGGUUGCUUCUUUUGCUUCGACACACCUUAAUAAUCCCAAAUCAGGAGUCCUCCUAUGCAGGAUCCUCCGCUGUGAAAAAAAUUGUUAGACAAUCUCUGAAGUGUUCGUUUCUGAGUAGCAUUGGCAAGCUCUGGGUAUUCUCCUGUCGUCAAAUAUUCCCUGAUAUCAUAGAACCAAGAUCUCCUGUCAGCUUCUUCCUCGACAUGAGCACAAUAAGCUGGUUGGUCGUAAAUCUUGAUCGGGAUGGGAUCAAUAAAGUUUGUAUCUAGAUGAUGGAUCAUGAAGGAUAAAGUGGUUAAGGCAUCGGCGAACUCAUUCUGUGUUCUGGGAACAUGCUGGAAUUCCGUCUUUCUGAAUGUUUUCCUCAACUCUUGCACAUGGUGUAGAUAAGGGAGUAGCUUGGAAUUCUUGGUUGCCCAUUCUUCUCGAACCUGAUGUAUGAGUAGGUACCAAUCUCCGAUUAGUAAUAGUUCGUGAAUGUUCAUGUCAAUUGCCAGAUUGAGCCCUAAGAUGCAGGCUUCGUACUCGGCCAUAUUGUUGGUGCAGGGGAACCUGAGCUUGGCAGACACUAGGUAAUGCUGACCGUUUUUUGAUACCAAAACCGCUCCUAUACCGUCUCCUUUGAAGUUUGCGGCUCCGUCAAAAAAUAACCUCCAAUCAUCAUAGGAUUCUGCAAUAUCUUCUCAUAUGAAAGCUAUCCCUUCAUUAGGAAUAUACGUAUUUAGGGGUUCGUAUUCUCCUCCUACAGGAUUCUCGUGAAUGUGAUCUUCCAAGGCUUGUCCAUUGACCGCCUUCGGGUGACAUAAAUGAUGUCAAAUUCACUUAAUAAAAUUCUACACAGGUUAAAGCACAACAAGUGCACUCUAAUAAGGAAUACCAAGCCUUGUACGGGGUGUAAGCAUGUUAUUUUUGCCGUACAUGAAGACAACUCCUAAAUAUAAAUCAAAAUGAUUUUUAUUGAUUUUUAGGAAUUUUUUAUUUUUUAGUCGCAUUUCAUGCAUUUUAAUAUUUUAAAAUCAAUAAUAACAUACAACAAAUCGCAUUAGAAUUUAGGAUUUAAUUUCAUAUUAUAGGAUUAAUUAAAGGUUAAUUUGUUUUAGAACAAAAUAAGAAGAAAAUAAUAAAAAUAGUACUUUUUGCAUUUUAGUUUAAUUUUGUAUUAGUUUACAUUUUAAUUAGGAAAUCUAAUAUUUAGUGUUAAUUUGCUUUUAGUUUUAAAUUUAGCAUUUAACAAAAUCAGAAAAUAAAAUACAAAAUUAAUAAAAAAAGGAAAUUAAAAGAAAUUGGGAAUAAAAAUUGGAAGAACCUUCCCCAAAACAAAAUAUCCCCCACCCCCCUCCCAAAAAAAAAACACUUCUCCUCAUAUGAGACCUCCGCAAAAUAUAUUUCCACAUACAAAAUACUUCCUCCCAAAAAUUUCCCACAUAAAUCCUUCCCCAAAAUUACUCCCUCACAUAACACCCUACCCUACACACUCUAUAAAACAAAAAGAUACACACAAAAAAAGAGGAGAGGAAAAACUAAUAAAGAGACGGAAGGAAGACCAUCUCACCUCCCACACAGAACACCCAUGAAAUUGCUCAAAAUCUGGCCAAAAGAAGUGAAAUCCACCAAAAAUUGUAGCGAAAAAAGGAGUAUCAGACAGUCCCAAUCAGCUCUAAACUUCGGCGAAAAUCAGUCGAGUACUCGAGUUCCGUCGAAGGAUCCGACGAGUUAGUUUUGUUCGAAGUUCCGAUUUUAAAUGAAGAUCAUAGGUUCUGAUUUCUAGUUCAGUUUUCAGGGAGUUCAUCGAAGCUGUAUUCGUUUAGCAAUAUGGAUUUGGAAGGAUCUAUAUUUGUUUCAAGGGAAGUGUUCAACCGCGAUUUCAGAUAAUUAUUAUGAACCGCAUAAAUACAGGUCAAUUGAUUUAAACGCAUGUUAUUUGCUGUUGAAAAAAUGUUUGCAAAUUUGAAGCUAGUAUGUGAUUGAUUAUUUGUUGAUAAAACUAAUUCCAUAGCUUAGAAUUAAGUGUUUAGAUCCUAGUAUUCUUCUACUGGUUUGGAUUGUUCUACUUCUCCUCUAUAGCAGCAGCAACAAUAUUCUUCUACUGGUUUGGAUUAUUCUACUUCUCCUCUAUAGCAGCAGCAACAAACAACCUCUAUUUAGAGAAGUUGCAAUCAAGCAAGCUCAAAUAGUUUCCUUGUUGUAUUCUCCUAUGGCGAUUGCCGUAUGGCUCUGUCUCUAUUCUCAUCAUGCUUUGUUAAAGAGUGCCACUAGACUUU